This 75902-nucleotide long non-coding RNA is filed under the name Jatropha curcas. RNAcentral's name for it is "long non-coding RNA (JCUR_LNC002362)". The record is from RNAcentral. Lineage: Eukaryota; Viridiplantae; Streptophyta; Magnoliopsida; Malpighiales; Euphorbiaceae.
CCAAAGUCACCAACAACUGCUUCAAAAUCUUCAUCCAAUAGUACGUUGGCAGCCUUCACAUCCCGAUGAAUAAUCUUAGGAUUGCAAUGUUCAUGAAGGUAUUCAAGUCCACGUGCUGCACCUAAGGCCACCCUUUUUCUUGUUGCCCAAUCUAGAACAGGCUCCUCAGGUUUACGUUCUGCACCCAAGAUUAAAACAAGUCAACCUAACACCAACGGCCGUUAUCUUUUUAACUGGACAAGAAUUGUACAAGAUGUAUAACCUCUGUCCCACUACAAGUGUUGUUUAAGUUUUUUUUUUUUUUUUUUUUUUUUUUUUUUUUUUUUUUUUCAUAUCCCACUUCAUUUGUCAAUUUAGAAAAAGCAUUAUUACUUGUUUCAACCUUUACCCUUUAUGUUUGAUAUUUCCACUAAAUAAGCAUUAAUUAUUUAUAGAGUUGAUAUAAGAGUAUGUAUUCAAUUACAACUAUUUUUCACUGAAAUUAAGGUUAUUUAAUGAUUUUCUUAAUCCUUGUGCAAUUAUCUCAAACAACACUUGGGACGGAAGUAAUAUAUAUAUAUAUAUAUAUAUAUAUUAUUGAAUUCAAUGUCCUAUUUUAAAUUACAUGUGAAAGAGGCGCACAAGGUUCAUAGGAAUCAUAUUCCUUAAGAAUUCGAUAAUACAAUGUAUACUGGGUUUCCUAAUCCUUGGCAAUAUAGAUCAGUGCUAUAACUAUUUUCAUGAUCGGAACAUAGUUUAUAAUUCCUAUUCAAAUACAAAAUUCUUAGUAAACAUACUGUACCAUGUCAAUUGCAGACAAAGCCUUUCCCAAUGACACAGUGUUGUUAAAUGAUAAUUAAAAAUCAAAUAUUAACAUUCAGCUGAAUGGUAAAUUCUCAAGUUCAACAUGGAUGAGUGUUUGAAAUUCACCAUCUUUCAAUAACUAUCUAAUUUAUUAGGUUUAGCAUACAGCUUCCAUGGUUGACAGUCGAAAUAAAAUUUUCUCAUUCAAACAUCCAACUUCCUCUUGUCCUCCACCAUGUCCCUGAUAAUAUGGAUUUAUCCUUGCCUAAUCUCUGUAAUAAAAGAAAUCUAGAACGACAUACUAAGUUGAUAGGGAAUAUAUGGUCUACUCCAAAAUUAUCUAUUGAGCAGCUAGACACUCUUUGAAGUUAUGGAAUGUAGUACAAAGCAUAGUGAUGGCAGACGACUUGUUGGCUCAAUGGUCAAUUUCUAAUCUCAGAUUUUGAUGAUUAAAAUAAAACAAAUAAAUUUAAAUUAUCUUUGUGCUAAUAUUAUUUUAUGCAAAAUCCUUAUGGGAAGAAAUCGUACAAGGCAAGUCCUACAUAGUGUGUGAAGAUAUUCGAAGACCCUAGUGGUUAGCUAUUUAGGAUACUUUGUAGGAUAGAGAGAAAAUUCAUAUAUGAGCACAUAAAUUAAUUUUUCUCUCAACAAAAAUAUUUUUCGGAAAUUAGAUUUUCCAAAAUAAAUUCUUUUCGAAAAAUAUUCUUUAAAGUUAAAAUGAUUUAAUUUCCUAAAACUAAAGAGAUUACGUCUCUAAAUGUUUUUGGUAAUAAAUCAUACACUUUACUUUUCGGAAAUAUCUUAUGAAAAUCUAAAUGAACUUCAAUUUAUUCUCUUACCUUAAAAUGAAGGGAGAAUCUUUUCGUUUUUAGUAAGAGCAACCUAUUCGAAAAAUAUUUUCCAAAUAAAAAUGCUUUCGAAAAUCUUUUUUGAUUAUAAGAAAAAUCGUCUUUCAUUCUUCUUACCAAAAAGGAUAAGAUAAACUUUUGGUAACUAAAGAUUUUCGUAUCUUCUAAACAAGGAAAGCAAAUAUUCUGAUUUCAAAUGAAAUAUCCACUUUCCAAAAGUAAGAGACACGAUGCUCUCUAUAAAUAGGAGCUUUCACGUCUUGAGCCAUGGUGAAGUAAGAGUUUUCGUUUUAAGAGCAUUCUCUCAUUGAUCAAAUCUUUUUCUCUCAAAACUUACUCUCUACCCCCAUUUUUCUUUUCAUCUUUACACUUCACGUUUUUAUCUUUAAAGAGAAAAGAAUGUUAUUAACUACUUUUGAAAAACGGUUCUGUGUUCUAAACGAUUUUCUAAUCUGAUAAACUGUUUUUCAUGUGCUUAUAUGUGCAUUUCUUUCUGUCUAUUUAGAUUCUGUAAUCUAUAGUAGACAGGCUUUUNNNNNNNNNNNNNNNNNNNNNNNNNNNNNNNNNNNNNNNNNNNNNNNNNNNNNNNNNNNNNNNNNNNNNNNNNNNNNNNNNNNNNNNNNNNNNNNNNNNNNNNNNNNNNNNNNNNNNNNNNNNNNNNNNNNNNNNNNNNNNNNNNNNNNNNNNNNNNNNNNNNNNNNNNNNNNNNNNNNNNNNNNNNNNNNNNNNNNNNNNNNNNNNNNNNNNNNNNNNNNNNNNNNNNNNNNNNNNNNNNNNNNNNNNNNNNNNNNNNNNNNNNNNNNNNNNNNNNNNNNNNNNNNNNNNNNNNNNNNNNNNNNNNNNNNCCGAACCACUAUAAAUCACUGUGUUGAUCUUUUAAUUUCUGAAGUUUGCUUGAUACUGCUUUUAAUACACUUCUGUUUAUAUUUUAGAAAUGCUAAAAUUGUUAAUGAUUCAGAUGCUCUAAAACUGUAAUAAGUCUUAUCUUUUCUGAACAUUAGAAUUCUGGAAUUCUGAUAAGUGAAUAUACCAUGUUCUAAAUCGUUAUUCUAGUUACAGUAUAGUUCACUGCUUGGGUUUCUAAUUAAUUUUCUAAACUUUAUGAGAAAGUUCUAAUUACAAUAGCUUUCCAUCAUAAAGUAGUUCUGAUACUUGAUUAAGGUUUUGUGAAGCAGUUCUAAAUUCGAUAACUGUCUCUCACACAGUCUUAUAUGAUUUUCUAAACUUUAUGAGGAAAUUCUAAUCUCAAUAGUUUUCCUUCAUAAAACAGUUCUGAUAUUAGAUAAAACAUUGUGAAACAGUUCUAAUUAAUAGCUGCACUUUGCAUUGUCUUUCUAUCUUUUAUGAAUAGAACAUUGUGAGGUAGUUCUAAUCCAUAUUCUAAUCUCACGAGUUCUAUAUUUUUCCGCUACACUUAGAAUUUUAUAUUCUGUUUUUAAAUUCUAAAAGAUUUUUAGAAAACCCAAUUCACCUCCCCUCUAGGGUUGUGCCAUACAUAUGCGGGGCCCACGCGACUUUCUAAUGCCAAUUUAGUAAAGCUUCUCCCGUGCACCUUUGAUAAGUAUUUUAUCAAAUUUGAAUCAUUCUGAAUUUUAAUAAUAGCAAUCUAACUGAAGUAUUCUUUUAUCCACUCUGGAAUAGACCUAAACAGGGAUGUCAAAUGGUAUGCAAUCAGUUGUUCUUAGUUUGCUCGAUACAGAAAAUCUACCUACCCCUCUAAGCAUAUAUAACCUUAGGUAUGCGUUACAUCUCGAACUAAAAAAAAUAAUCUUUCUCGAUAAUCAGUUGAUUAGGAUAAAAUUCUAUCCUCUAGAAACCGUACAUGCGCCUUUUGAUGCAUACGGUUCAACACAAAUUGCGAAAACAAAAAAAGAAUCACUGUGUGGAUUCCAGCCCUCCUUUGACCAGCUAUUACAUGAUCAUUGAGCAAUAUGUUUGGCGCAUGCUUUCAGGAAUAUAUAAAAUUAGCCACAUCUACAAUGCAGAAAAUGCCAAUGAAUGAAAAAGCAAAUUGUUAGUUGCUUCAAUUUAAAUAUAAGGCAAACAAGUAAUACCUCUUAGACGAUAUGCCACACUUAAAUUCGGCAUAAAUGGAUAAACUAAAAGGCGUUCUGAUGGUGUUGUGCAAAAACCUAUCAGCCGUAGUAGAUUCCUGUGAACAGCUACGCUUAUCAUCUCAACCUCACGUUGGAAAGCUCCAUCUCCUCCUGGAGUUUCAAAAUCAGUUAAACGCUUAACAGCUACUUUCGUGUUAUCUUGAAGCACUCCUUUAUAAACUUUUCCAAAACCUCCCUGUCCAAGUAUGUUUUUCUCGUUGAAGUUUUCCAUCGCCAACUGUAAUUCCCGAUAUGCAAACCUUUUCAAUUGACCAAAAACAAUUCUUCUGUCAACUUCACCUAAACCAAGAAUAAAAAAUCAGGUAUUUUCAAGGUUUACUAAAGCUCCGUUUGUUUUCCUAAAAUAAUUUGCAGGAAAUUUUUUUAAAAUCUUCAUAUUUUAAUACCAAAUGAAAGAAAAUAAAUAUAUUUUAAUACCCAUAUGUUAAAAGAAUAUUUAGAGUGUGUUGGGAUCAAUGCUUCCACUUAUUCCCCUUAUUUAUUUUCACCACCGAUGAUCUAAGCUAUUUUUCACAAUAUUUUAUCGUAUUAUAUUAUCUAAGCAUAAAUAUGCAAACUUUUAUGUUUACAAUGAAUCAAAAAGAGGGAAAAAUAAAUUAAAUUUAAGAUUAAUUACCUAUAAUAAUCUUAGUGAAAGUUUAGAAAUUCUAAAAUAUCCUUAGUUACUGAUCAAUUGAUAAUAGUUUGAGUUUUUAAUAAUCGAUAAAUUAGAGUUUUUAAUACUUUUUUUAUUCAUUGUUUAAAAAAAAUAUUAUUAUAUUAAUAUAUUAUUCUAAUUGAAUUUUCAAUUUUUGAUUAUUUACGAUAUUAAUUGUUUAAAAAAUAGAUUAUUAUUUUAAUUUUAAAAUAAACUUCAAAAUGCAAAAAAAAAAAAAAAAAAAAAAAAAAAACCUAUAAAAGAUAUUGAUUCACAUGUUUAUAUAUAUAUCACUUUCAAAGUUUUGAAUUUUUUUUAAUUUAUGUCUAUUUAUCUAUAUUGAAGUUUUCCAAUUUAUAUGGUAUAGAUUAAGGCAACAUUUUAAUUUUUUUUUCUUUUUUCAUGAAUAUUGGUUGUCAAAAUAUCAUAUACUAUUAGAUCAUUUUCAAUUCCUGCGAAACAGGUUCUUCUAUAAACAUAAGAACCGCAUACUAAAGGAUUUUAAAUAACUAUAUAUUCUCUACAUCUCAACAUAAAUUAAUCAAAGCAAAACACUCUUAAAAAAAAAAAAUCAAAAAAUGGAUAUAAUAUGGUCCUCAAAGCUUUCAAUUAAUUGAAAUUUGUCGAUCUCAAUACCGUUAAUCUAAAACGGUAUCAAAUCCAAAAUCAAAAUGAUCUUUUCUGUUACCGAUCAGAAUUUGUUUAUGCUGAGGUUCAGGAAUAUUUGAGUUCUGUAUUAUUAUUAUUUAUUUUAGAGUUUUAUUUUUUUUAUUUGAUUUUCAUGAAUUCAAAUCAAUAUCCAAUAACAUAGGAUCAUAUUAUUUAAUUUUUUUAAAAAGAAAUCGAUGCUAUUAACCUUAUCAUUUUCAAAAAAAUUAAAGUCUAAUCUUAUAAUUAAUAAUAAUUCAUUCAUUUUAUCUUCUAUAAUUAUUUUAUUAAAUAUACUUGGCUUUUAACGUUGUUCUAUCAUAUUAAAAUUAAUUUAAGAAAAAUAUUAUUUGCUUAUUAUUUGAAUAUUACAAAAUUAAUACUAUUUAAGAAUAAAUUAUAAUCAUACUUAAUACUAUAUAAAAAUAAAUUAAUGAGUAUAAAUUACAAAAAAUACCAAACAAUAACAAUGCAACGCACGUGGUAAAAAACACCAAGUACUAUUUAAGUUUUCAUACAUUUUCUAAAUUGACUCUGUCAGUAAUCGAUAUGAAAUAAAGUGAUCCUAGAGAACAAAACUGGGUCCCGCGGCUCAUCCCGAGCCCCGAAGGCUAAAAUAUAUUUUCGAUUGGGCUUAAAUUUAUAAUUUUCUACCUUUAAAUAUUUUUAUUCGAACACGUUGAAUGGUCAGCUGUAGUUCCUCAAGCCGAAUGUUUAACAGUUUAAGGUCAAAUGGCAUAAAAAAAUAAUUCAAAAUAUUUUACUUAAAAUUUUUAAAACCAAGUUGAUGCCAAAUAUGUAAGUAAUUCUUUUACAUAUAAGUAAAUUUUAGUUUUCAAAUCAAGUUUAAAUAGCGAAAAUGUUGUUUUUCAUUGUAUAAACCAGCUCAACAAAUAUGUAUUAAAUGUUAUUUUUCAUUCUAUAAUUCUCAUUUUCUUUUUUAAGUAUGAGAUCACAAAGUAUUUCUAGAAGGAGAGAUUUUUUUAAAAUUGUUGGAAUUAAUGGAUAGGUAUGGAUACACCCAUUAUUAGCCAUUUUAACCCGGAUCCAUUAAUAAUACGUGAUAAUAAUUAAUAUGUCUAAUUAUUAUUAUGUGUAUUUAAAUAAGUGUAAAUAUCCUAGUUUGAUAUAUUUUAGAGAUUUUGUGUUUUAGUUGGAUUCCUUCAACCUGUUAGGAUUUGAUGGUCUAUUUUUAAGGCUGUUUAGUUAAUAAAUCCUGUUUCUUUAGGAUGCUUAGUUGUUUUGUUUUAUUCAAAGUUGUUAGCGUAUUAGACUCCUUUUCUUUUUCUUUUUCUUUUCAGUUGUAAUGUACAUCUAUAUAAAGCUGACCUUCUUCUUUUCAGUUUUCUCUCAUUUGAUUGUCGAAUUCAAAUGUAUUUCAUUAUAAAAGGUUUUACUAAUUUGAUAAAGAAAAAUGCUAUGUCUACUUUAUAACUAACAAUGAAAAGAGAAUGAAAUUCUCAUUACAAAUUAAUUUUAGUGCCCAUAAGAUGACCAAUUAUAUUCUUUAUCUUAAUGACUUUUAGCAAGGUUUCUUACUUCUCCGAUUUAUAGUUGGUGACUAGAUGAGAUAAAUGUGGUUGAAUUCCUUUAAAUUUGUGUAACAUGCAGAUGGUCAGAUGAAGCAUUCCAAUGUAAAGUCCAGUGAUCAACCAAUGCUAAAAAGUUAGUACUAAUAUGCGCUUUAUAGAUUAACUAUUUAGUUGAUGUGGAAUUGUUAACAACUAGUUGGAUUAAAUCAAAAGAAAUAGAAGAUGAUAAAGUUUAAUUCUUGGUAUACGUUUCUUGUGUCGGGCAUGAGAGAUUGACCCUCCAAUAUGGCAUUAUGGAGUAGAUCGGCAGCCACCCUUCUCACUGCAACAAUUAUUUGGGAAUUGCGUUAACUUGUCUACCUAGUUCAAAGCAUUUCAAUCUUAAUGUACAACAUGUGGACUACAAUAGAUGACUUCGAAUGUGUCUAGCAAUCUAGCCACAUGCUCACGUUUGAGGCAUCUAGCGUAUUAUACAACUUACAAGCCAUCAAUAUAUAUAUAUCCGUCAAUAAAUAUCCUAAAUCUCCUUAUAUUUUCUUAAAUUUUCAUUAUCAACCUAUGUUAUUUAGAAUAUUUAUGCAGAUAUAAAUAUAAAGGCGGAUUUUCUACUAUAUAUUCAUCGAAAUUUUAGCAACAUCUCUCUGUGUAAGAGUGUUCAAGUGUACAAAAUGGAUAAUCUAAUAUACAACUCAAGAACGGGGAGAUAUAAAAGAUAUUCUAACAUAAAAACGACAUUUUCAUAAUUAUAUUCAAAUAAACAAAUUUAUUUCUAAAUUAUCUAUCAUAGACAAUCCAAUGUGCUUCAUUUAAUUAAGAAUUAUACUUGAUAAGUUCUUUUAAUGAAUUGCACUACAGGUGCUUAUUCUAUGUAAUACAAAUAUUGAAGGAAAUUGCUUAAAUAUUAAUAGCUGUGCAUGGAAGGAUAUGUUUGGCCAAAUUAGUUGUUUUGGUAGUUGUUAGUUGUUUGAGUACCGUUUAACGUUUAGCUGUUUGAAUAACUUUUCAUAAAACGCUAAAAGUUAAAUUUUGUAUGAAUUAACUUUUUAUAAAAUACUAAAUUAAUAUCUAAAAGUCAAUUUAAACACUGUAUUAUCUAAUACCGUAAAAAAAUAUUAAAAUGUGCACAAGUUAUAGCCGUGUGAUUAGAAAUUGUAUAAUUCACCUUCUUUCUACAUCGUUCCAUGCACCCCUACUACGUCCACAUGCAGAGGCCCUUGGCGUUGAUGGAAAUAUUAGGUGGCUAUUGCAUCCACGUAGUAUAACUAAUUGGUGGGUGGGUGAUGUGAUAAUGAUAUGGGUACCAGAAUAAGCAUUAAAAUAUAAUUUUUCUCAUUACGAGUUAAAAAUAUAGGGUUUCUUUAAAUAGUCGGUAGAGAAUGCUUUGUCUUUAUUUUAUAGGUCUAACCGGUACAAAUCCAAAUUAUUAGAAUCGGUGAGAUUAAAAAAUCAAGCAGUGAAUAUAUAUAUAUAUAUAUAUAAAAAGAAAAUGUAAUACCUGAAAAAAUAAAUAAAUGAUUUAAUUAAUUCCCCAUUUCUUAAUCACUUUCACUCACACAAUAAAAAAAAAAUUUUGAUAAAAAGAAAAGUAGCAUCUGCAAUUCAUCAAUUAAUAUAUGUAUGACAAUUUGAAAUUUAACUCAAGUCUCGUGAUGCGUGGGUCCCAUCACUUUUAUUGUUUAUAGUGUUUAUAGUGUUUAAGGGAUUAAUUUGAUUUUAGGAUAAAAUCGUGCAACACGUAAAGUUUAUAGUAUUUUAAAUGAAUUACUUAUACAUAUAGUCAUAUAUUAGUAUAAAUCAGGAAAUUAUUUUUCAAUCAAGAAAUUUGACUUUUUUUAUAAAUAAAUUUUAAACUUCACAGAAAUGUACUGUACAUGCGUCUAAUGCAUAAAUUUGACUCUAAACUUUUGUCAAUUAUUUUUGUGGUCUCUUGAACUUUGUGAGAGUCCAAUUAUAACCCUACACUUUCACAUUUCACUAAUAAUUAUAUCGCUCGUCAAAAUGAAAUAUCUUGACUAAAAUUCCAUAUCAAUGACCCUAUAUUUUCACAUUUCAUUUUGGUCAUGAGCAUAGUUAUUAUUGAAAUGUGAAAAUGCAGGGUUAUGAAAUGUUCCUUGCAAAAUUCAAGAGGCCACAAAAAUAACCGCAAAAAAUUAUAAAAUCAAAUUUAUGCAUUAGGUCUUACCAAUUAGACAAUUUGUCAAAUUAAAUUAAAGAGGAAAAAAGAAAGAAAGGUUUAAGUUAAGUUCAUUCAUAUAUAUAUAUAUAUAUAUAUAUAUAUCGGGGUGAUGUCCGCCCUUACGUAAAUUCAUUCAUGUUGCAUGUAUAUAAUCAUCACAUGGAUGUAAGUUCUUUCAUGUUGUAUAUAUAUAAUUAUCACAUUGAUACCAUUUUAAAAAUUGAUUUCAUCUAAUCAUCUAACCUAAGUAAAAACAUAUUAUACAAAUUAAACAUGUUUACUUGAAUCCAAAACCUUCACUUUGAAUUUUUGAAUCCAAAACCUAGCUAUAAUUACUUGAAUUAAACAUGUUAUACAAGUGUAACUACCGUUUUCAAGUUUUGGAAUGAAUGAAAUUGAAAUAUAAUUAAUUUACCUCCUCAAAUAAUUAAAAAAGAAAAUAUAAGAUUAUUGAUGAUCCGUUUGUUUCUGUAAAAUAAUUUGCUGGAAAAUAUUUUCCUCCUACAAAAAUUUUUUCCUAAUGACUUAUUUUCCGUUGUUUAAUUACAAUAUUGAAAAUUAAUUAAAAAUAUUAAAAUCUUUAUCUCAUAAGAUCAUAAAAAAUAUUAAUAAUAAUAGAAAUUUUAUAAUUUAAAAAUUUUAUUAUUAAAUAUGAGAAGAAUGUAAAAAAAAAAUCAAAUUAUGAAAGCCGUCGGUAGAUAGUGGUGGUGGCCGGUGGUGGUAGCGAAAGGUGAUAGUCGGUAGUAAAUAGUGACUGGUAAUGGUGACUACGAGGAUUUAUAUAUUAAAAAGAAUAUGAAUUUUGGCAUUUUAACAAUUUUGGUCAAUUCUUUUAAUUGCUACAAUUGAUACCGGGAAAUAAUUUUUUCUUAACAAUUGUAGCCUCCCUCCAUCAACCUUUACUACGGUGCCGAUGUGGGCAUUAGUGGAACCCUCGCCAUGACAAGUCACUUGUUGACAGUAAAUUUGUAAGAUAUGAUUGUUAAAAGAAUUGGCCAAAAUUGUUAAAAAAAGCCAAAGUUUAGAGUUUUGUUAAGCUAAAGUUUAUUAGUUUACCAAUUUUAGUCAACAUUAUUACAUGCACACCAAGACAUAACUCAGUGAUAAGUGCAUAUACAAUUUGGCAAUAGAUCCAAAUUUUUUUAUUAAAAUUAAUUUCUAAUAUUUAUGUAAUUUAUUUAUCAAUAAAUAAUUUUAUAACUUGUAAUAUUCAAAUUUAAUUUGAUAAAGAUAGUUAAAUAUUUAAUAAAUUUUGAUUAUAAUAUUUUUUAUUUUAAAUGAUAUAUUAUAAUAAUUAAUGACAAACAAUUAAUAUUAUGCUAAAAAAAUUUAUUUUAUUUUAAUAAGAAUUAAUUGAGAAUAAUAAUUAUAUGACAACAAAAUAAAUGAAGAAAAAAAAUUUGAAAAGGAAAUUAUAAUUUGAAAAUUCGAAAAGUUACAUUUUAAGAUUGAGAACUAAAAGCAUGAAAAAAUGGUGUUUCGCAAUUCAAGCAAAAAGAUACUAUUUUCUUAUCUUAACUCAUAAAUAUAAUAUACAUUCUUAAUAUUGGAACACAUGCCAUCGAAUCGAAUAGGUAAUCUUUUAAUUAAUUCCCCAUUUCUCAAUCAUUUCUUAAUCACUUUCACUUUCACUUUCACUUACACAAUUAAUCAAUUAAUAUAUGUAUGACAAUUAUGGCUCCACAUGGUUAUCGUUUAAAAUCAGCUUAUGAAUGCAACGAUGACAAUUUGAAAUUUAACUUUUUUUAUAAACAAAUUUAAAAAUUCACAAAAAUAUAUUUUACGUGCAUCUAAUGCAUAAAUUUGACUCUAAACUUUUGUCGAUUAUUUUUGUGGUCUCUUAAACUUUGAGAGUGUCCAAUUAUAACCACACACUUUCACAUUUCAUUAAUAACUAUGUCUCUCACCAAAGUGAAAUAUUACUAAAAUUUCAUAUCAAUGACACUACAUUUUUACAUUUCAUUUUAGUCAUGAGAAUAGUUAUUAUUGAAAUGUGAAAAUACAGCAUUAUGAAAAGUUCCUUGCAAAAUUCAAGAAGCCACAAAAAUAAUCGCAAAAAAUUAUAAAAUCGAAUUUAUGCAUUAGGUCAUUAUUUAUGAGAGUUGAAACUAUCCGUUUGCUAAAUUUAUGUAAAAAAGCCAUCCAUCACUUACCAAUCAGACAGUUUGUCAAAUUAAAGAGGAAAAAGGAAAGAAAGGUUGAAUAUCGUUUUACAUAAGAAAUAUAAGUAGAUUAAAUUUAUAAUAAAAAAAGUAGAUUAAGUUUGAAUUUGUUAAAUUUAAUUUUCAAAUAGAAUUAUUAUAUCAAUAUAAUUCUUCAAAUAUAUUACCAUGAAUUUUUGAAAUUAAAAAAAUUAUCCAAUCAAAAUGUAGAAAAUAAAGAAAAAAUUAAAAAAUUUCUCCAAAAAGAAAACGAAACUUACGGAGCCCAUCCAUUCAGCGCAAGUCGUCGAGAAAGAUUGUUCUUUUACAAAUAAAACACUGAAUAAAGAGAAAGCUUAGAACUUUCUUCUUUUUUCAACUUUCAUAUAUAUAACAUAAAUGAGGAGGUGAAAAACUAAAGAUUUAAUAUUAAUAUCAAAUUUAACUUUAAACUUAUUUAUUAUUACAAAUCUAAUUCUUUUGAUUACUAAUAGUUAUAGCGUUCAAUAAUAUAAUAUCUACUCAAACUUUUAGAAUUUGAAACAGUGUUUUAUGAAAUCUUAUCUUAUUUUUAUUUACAUUUAGCAUUUUAUAAUUUCUUUAUGACACUUAUACUCAUCAUUUGUCUUACUUUAUUUCUCGCUUUCAUACAUUUUUUAUCAUUUUAUAGUAAACAGCUAAUCAUCUUAGCCAACGCUUUUAUUUUAAACCGCUAUAUAAUGGAUAACCAUUAACACUUAAUAUUUAAUAGAUAACUACUGUUAAAACACUGACAGCUAUUAAAACAGUCAACAGUUACUAGAACAACUAAAUUUAUUAAAUAGACCCAAAGUUAUUAUUCGGUUGGGAGAGUUGGAAGUGACCAAGAAUGUAAGAAGUAUAGUAGUAAGUUCUAAAAGAAAAUCAUUUAUUUUUCCAAAAGAAAAAAAAAAAAAAGACAAUCAUUCAUAUUAUCAAUUCGAGUUAUUUUGGUAACAAUAGAACCUCAUCAUAAAUUUCAAUCCAAAUUAUUUAUUUGCACCACCUCUUCUCCAGAAUAUAAAUUUCAAAUUAAAAAUUUGGCAGGAAGAAGGGUGGAAGGUCUUUCAUUAAGGCAAUAUUUGGAUUUAUGAUUCUUAAAUAUAGAGAUAAUCACUAUUAACAAUAAAAUCUAACACAUGAAUAUAGGAAAUUUAAUGGUGAUGCACCAUUUUAUUUAUUUAUUAUUGAGGCAUAACACAUGAUAUCAACGAGAAAAAAAAAAAGGCUAAAAUAGGGAAACAAACAUAAAAAAUAAUAAAAUCUUAGUCCCACUUGUGCUUUUUUGGAAUGGAAUAAGUAUAAGAUCGUGCUUGUUAUGGAUAGUGAGACCACCAGCUUCUUCCAUUGGAAAGUCCUCAAAUUUCUUUCCAUUAGGGAGCCCAAAAUCAAACCCAUAUAAAAGAUUAGCCAAUGUGUAUUUAACUGCUGUAGUACCCAUUGCCAGACCAGGACAAAUUCUUCUUCCAGCUCCGAAUGGAACCAACUCAAAGUAGGACCCUCUGUAAUNNNNNNNNNNNNNNNNNNNNNNNNNNNNNNNNNNNNNNNNNNNNNNNNNNNNNNNNNNNNNNNNNNNNNNNNNNNNNNNNNNNNNNNNNNNNNNNNNNNNNNNNNNNNNNNNNNNNNNNNNNNNNNNNNNNNNNNNNNNNNNNNNNNNNNNNNNNNNNNNNNNNNNNNNNNNNNNNNNNNNNNNNNNNNNNNNNNNNNNNNNNNNNNNNNNNNNNNNNNNNNNNNNNNNNNNNNNNNNNNNNNNNNNNNNNNNNNNNNNNNNNNNNNNNNNNNNNNNNNNNNNNNNNNNNNNNNNNNNNNNNNNNNNNNNNNNNNNNNNNNNNNNNNNNNNNNNNNNNNNNNNNNNNNNNNNNNNNNUGAAAGUUUGUUCUCUUUUAGCAAGAGCACCAGUCAAAGAAUCAAUGAAUCUUCCAGCGCUAGGGAAAAAAUCCUCCGCAUGAAAACUGUUUAAAAUAUCCAUAGCUUCACUAAUCACCUUAACAAAACCUUGUUGGAACUCCACUUGUCCAUAGCUCCUUCCGAAAGCAACAGUACCCAUAAUACCAUCAAUCAUGUUAAAUAUUAGCUCUGUGAGAUUAACUCGAUUAGGGUAUGCAUUUGUUAAAAUAUUGUUUAACUUGUCAAUCUGCUCUUCUCUUGCGUACCAGAACAUAUGCACUCUUUUCAUACUCAAAAGCUCAAAAAUAAACAACUUUCUCAUUUCUCUCCAGUAAUCAGAAUAUGGAGAAAAUGCAACAUCCAAGAAAUUAUAUGACAGUCUACNNNNNNNNNNNNNNNNNNNNNNNNNNNNNNNNNNNNNNNNNNNNNNNNNNNNNNNNNNNNNNNNNNNNNNNNNNNNNNNNNNNNNNNNNNCCAGGUGAUCUCCCUAAUUGAACUCGCAUGACAGGGCCAUAUUUUUGUGACAUUUUCCAAAAAUCGUAGUACGGCCUGUCGCCUAACUGGUGAAAAUUGCCAAUAAUGGGGAGUCGUCUUGGACCUGGUGGUAGUUUAGGACCUUCAGUUCUCUUCUUGCUUUUGAAGAGAAAGAAAGUGAAAAUUGGAAGAAGAAAGACUGCAAGAAUUGGAAGCCAUUGUUGGUUGAGAGAAAUUAGAUUUGAUAUAGACAUUUCCUGUGGUUGUUUAUCUUUUUGGUGUGGUUUUGAUUUGAAAGUGGAGAAGAUGAGUGAACCCUUUAAAUAGUGCAGCAAUGUAGUGAACCAGAGACUUGAUAUUUCUUUAUGAGGAAAUAUAAUAAAUAUAUUAAUUAUAGCACACAUUUUUUUCAUAUAUUUAAUAUUUGCAGUUGUAUCACCUACCUUGUUACACAUGUGAUUUUUAGUCAUUUUAAUAGGCAUCCCCUUCAAAUCAAAACCGAACAGUAACCGAGUUAAAAUUGCCAUCAUACCCCAAUCAAUGGCAUCCGAUUUCAAACCAUAAUCGAAAUCAUAUUUUUAUUGUUUGGUUUCGAUUUUUCAUUUUCUAAAAUUAGAAUCCAAGAUUCUAAUUUUAAACUAUGAAAAACUAAAUUUUACAAGAAACAGAUAAUAUUUUUUUUUUGUUUUGUUAUAAUUUUUUAAAUUAAAUUUUAAAACUUUUAAUUAUUAGUUUGGUUUAGUUUGUCCAAUAGUACUAUUAUUAUUAUUAUUAUUAUUAUUACAAAAUACAAAACUAAAAAAAAAUAAUAAUAAGUUUGAAAAUGAUUAUCUAAUUUCGGUUUCAAAUCAAAACGAAAUCAAAAUCGGUGGUUCUGAAACCAUUUUAAAGUGUGCCUAAAAAUGAUUUAAAUUUUGAUUCAAUCCUUAAAGCUUUUAUAAUCGAAAUUCACAGUUUUAAAACCGAAACCAAUAGCUCCAAAACUAUGAUCAUAACUACCUCUCUCACUCUCCUUACAAUAAGACUCAAACUCAAAACCUCUAAUUCCUCACACUACUGAAAAAAACCAACCAUACCACAUCUUGUUGGCAUAGAAUCUUAUAUUUUAUUAUUUCGUUGAAAAUAAUUACAUAGUUUGGAAUGUUAUUUUUAAAAUAAAAUUAAAUGAUUUAAAUUUCAUCGUUCAUAUAAAAGUAUGUAAUUAAUAAAGUUCCCAACUCUUAGCUGAGAUUUCUCUCUCUUAAAAUGAUGAAAUUGAAGUAAUGAUAAAAUUCAUCAAUUUUAUGAAUUACUUUUUCUCAACCAAAUAAAAAAAUCCAAGGAAUCAACAUAAAUGUUUAAAUGUGUGUUUGGAAAGGUGGAAAAUAGCCGAGAAAGGAAAAUAAUUGAGUGAAAUAAAUGAGGAAAGUUAUUUUCUUCUGUUUGGAUUAUGUUAAGAAAAUUGCAGAGGAAGGAGAAUCUGUACUGAAAUCCUCUUGGCCCGCAAUUUUUCAAUCUCUUUUCAAUCUCUCCGAAUCGGAGAUAAAACAACAAAUUUUGUGGGAGAUUUUCAAUGUUUGUACAAAAUUACAAAAAAAAUUCAUUUCCCUAUCUCCAACAAUUAACUCCUCUGUCUUGUUUCCAUGUCGCUGCAAUUCGCCACAAAUAGCAAAUAUAGCGGAUGGAAAUUGGAAAGAACCAAAAUAUUAUUGUUGAUGCUUUAUAUUAAAAAAAUAAAUAUUCAUUUUUUAGAUGCUGAUUGAUGGUAUUUAAUUAAAUUAAAUAGUAACUCAUUAAAUAUAUUAUUUUUAUUUGUCAAGUAAACCCGUAACAUUAUACAAAAUGUUAAGGUUAAAACUGCAAUUAUGCAACAGUAAUAUUUUCUUUCCUCUCCUUAUUUUCCUUUCAAUCUAAAGUGGAAAAUAUCGAAGGAAGAAAAUAAAACAAUGUUUUUUUAUUUUCCUUUGUUAUUUUCCUUUCUUCCUUAUUUUCCGUUCUCUCUUUCCAAACAGCGAGUAAAUUUAUGACUUCUUAUUUUAUUUUUACUCUAAUAUCAAAAUAUCAAAAUAUUAAACCUUAGUCAAAAAUCAGACUUCAAUAUAUAUAUAUCCGUCAAUAAAUAUCCUAAAUCUCCUUAUAUUUUCUUAAAUUUUCAAUAUCAACCUAUGUCAUUUAGAAUAUUUAUGCAUAUAAAUAUAAAUGCGGAUUUUCUACUAUAUACUCAUCGAAAUUUUAGCAGCAUCUCUCUGUGUAUGGUUCUUUGAGUGUACAAAAUGGAUAAUCUAAUAUGCAACUCAAGAACAGGGAGAUAUAAAAGAUAUUCUAACAUGAAAACGACAUUUUCAUAAUUAUAUUCUAAUAAACAAUUUUAUUUCUAAAUUAUCUAUAAUAGACAGUCCAAUGUCUUCUUAUCAUCCUGUUGAGAAAAAUACAAAAUGUGUAACAAUGAUAACUAUCUUAAAUUUUAUUUGUUUAAAACCUAAUCUCAGAAACUUAAAUAAAUCCAAUUCUAAAUAAAAUUAUACAAAGUAUAUAUACUGAUUAAACUAUACAUUAAAUAUACAUUAAUUAAACCAAUUUACUUUUAUAUACUGAUUAAAAUAUUAUUGUACAAUAACAUUACACUAUUUGUUCUAAUAAUAUCAAUUGAAAUUAAUCAACUCCAAAAAUAAAAAAUAAAAAACAAUUUCAAUUAAAAUCAAUCAACUUCUAACAUCAACAGUUACAUAAGAUAAAUAAUUAAUUAAACAACAAAUUACCAAAGAAAAAUAAAACAUAAAUAAUAGUAGAAAGUGAAUGAAUAAUAGUAAAAAGAGAAGUGGUAUAUUUUCUCGAACGUGUGUCAUCGGCGUUGAUGAAUAGUGCAUAUUAAUGAAAUACGACCACUGUUGAUUGAUACUGGAGGGUGUUAAAAGAGAGAUCAUGGCAAAAAAAUUGCCUUUUUAUUUUAAAUUAAAAUUACAGACAAAUAUUUCAAUCAGUAAUGUUUUAAAAUCUGUCCCUAAACUAGUUAAAUGAACAUGCUACAUGUCCGUUACAAAGCAAAAUUGCAUCACUAAUUGUCUUUAAUUAAUUGUUUCAUUUACGAGAUGAAAUAGUACCAUCGCUAUUCUUUGUGCUUUAUUUUAUUUUUCAUUACUACGGUAAACACAGUCCGCCGCUAAAAUAUGACAGCAUUUUAUUGGAAAUUCGUUCAUUAUUCAGUAAAUUAAUUAGUUUAUCGUUGAUGAUAAUCUGUGGUUAUUUAGUGUAUCUAAUUACCAUUUCUUAUAGUGGAACUGUAGAAUUGAUAUCUAUAUGUAAUUUUUUUUAAAUAUAAAAGAUAGAUUUAGUAAUACCUUAGAUGUCAAUAAGUCUUAGGUUUGGAUCUCACCAAUAUUAUUAUAAAAUCUAAAUUUACAAAAAAAUUCUUGAGUAUUUGUUUUAAGUAUAAAUGUCAAAUAUUAUUCCUUACCACUCAUCUAAACAUGUCUUUACUAAAAAAAAUAAAAAAUAAAAAGAGAGAGCUCAACAUUGAGAAUCUUCUCCCUUGCAUGAUAUAUAGGGCAGAUCUACACUUUGGGCAACGAGGGCACCAGCACACUGGCUUUUUACAGUUUAAUUUAUAAUUUUUUACAUUUUAGUAUAUAUAACUAACAUAAAUUUCUAUUACUUAAAAAAAACACAAAUUAAGCUUAUGACAUAAAAAUUAAUUUAAAUAAACAUAUUUUUUUUCAAUUACGUAUUUUAUUUUCAUAUUUCUAUGUUUUAAGGAUGAAAAAAAAUCCUAACUGUUAAUUCUUUUAAAUUGAGACAAUUAGUUCUCACAAGUUUCAAUCUUAGUCAAAUUCCAUUCAGCAACAUAUAUUACGAUUUCAAUGGCUUUUAUAAAUAAAUAAUUAACUCCUCAAAUUUUUGAAAAAUAUGUUAAAUUAUUUUUUUAAUAGCUGUUAGGUUCCAAACUCCAAACCCCUUUCCUCAUUUCUUUAACUUGUAAUUUCUGCUCUUUAAUAGGUUUAUGUAAUUCAAAAUGAUUCAUUUGAGAAAAUUGUAAUUGUGUAAUAAUGUAUUAUAGUUUGAUAAUAUAUUAUUGGCUCAAGGGUCAAUUUUUUCUUGAGAUUUUGAUGAUUAAGCAUAAUAAAUAAAUUUAAUUUUUUUAUUUGUGUUAAUAUUAUUUUAUGCAGACUUAUUUAUUUUUAUAUAGAAAUUAAUAAACAAGGCAAAUUCCAUCAAAUCUAAGUUUAAAUGAAGAGCAUGAAGACCAUUAAAGAUUUUAGUGGUUAAGUAUAUUAGGAUUUGUUGUAGGAUAGAGAGAAUAUUCUUUUAUCAGCACAAAAAUAUUUUUCUCUCUCACUCAAAAUGAUUUUCAGAAAUUACCUUAAUUUAUAAAAGAUACAUCAUGAUUCUUUUCGAUUUUCUUACCUAAAUAAAAGAGAUUUGUCUUAAUCAUUUAUGGUAACAAAUUUUCCAUUUUCGGAAAUUUAAUUUACUUACCUAAAUGAAAGAGAUUUUAUCUUAAUUAUUUUUAGUAAUAAAAUAUUUUGAAAAAAAAUUUUAUAUUUAUUUCCGAAAACUAUUUUUAAAGAAAAGUCUAAUAUCUUAUUUUUAUUAGCUUAACUUAAAAGAAAAGAUUUUGAAUCAAAGAAUUUUUAGCAACAAGAUAUCCUUAUCUUCCAAAAUUUAGAAAGUCAAUAUUCUUAUUUAAAAUGAGAGAUUUUACUUUCUAAAAUGGGACUUUCAUCCCUCUCUAUAAAAGACGUCUUUCCCUUGUAAAGACGUGGGUUUUUAUUUUAAGAGUAAGUGUCCAUUGAUCAUAUAUUUUAAUCUCUCAAAACUCACUGUUUACCCCCUCAUUGAUCAUAUAUUUUAUUUUCAUCUCAAAACUCAAAAGUCAAUAGACUCUUGUUUUUAUUUGUUUCUUUCUUUUUAGGGUUUUCUUAGUGUUAUCUUUCUGUCUUGUUUGUCCACUAUUUCCAUCUGUUUAUUUUUUCAUUCGCUAAUAUGUUUUCCCCUUUCCUGUACAUCAUGGUUCUGUAGUGCUAGCAACUAAGAUGGAGAACCAAAAUACUGUCCCAUUACCCAAGCACAAGGAAAUGAGAGUGUACACAGCAGUGGAGGCAGAAGAAUUAGAAGCGAAUGUGGUUGAGAAUUCCCCCCAUUCUGAUUCGGCUUCCUGUCUGGUUAGUAAAGUUUGGACAUAUUGAAAUUGUAAUAAAUUUGCGCUAAUGGAAACUAUGGUGUGAGUUUGGAAACCUAAAUAUGGGGUGGAGGCCAGAGAGUGGAGUAAAGACAUAUUCUUGUUUCAGUUUAAACAAGCAUGGGAUAAGCAGGACGUGUUAUGGAAGGAAACAUGGCAUUUCGACAAAUAUAUAUUGGUUCUUAAGGAGAUUCAUGGAGAGGAACAACCAGCAAAUGUACUGUUUACUUCCAUUCCAUUAUAGUGCAAAGCAAAUGAGUUACCGAUCAAUUGUAUGAAUGAGGGGAUGGCUAAAAUUCUUAGCAGGAAGAUAGGCCCUUUUAUGGAAUGGGAUUCUGAUAGUAACAUGGCUUGGGGCAAAUUUAUCAGAUUUCGUGCAUUACUUGACUUGGAAAAACCCCUUGCUAGAGGCUCGAUAGUUAAGCUGCCUUUUGGAAAAUCUAUCUGGAUCCCUUUUCGGUAUGAGGUAUUGCCCAAUUUCUGCUUUUUAUGUGGCAGGUGUGGCCAUACGUAUAGGAGUUGUGAUAAUUAUGAUUUUGGGGAACCUCUACAGUUGGAGAAUAUGUUAUAUGGGGAUUCGUUGAAAGCCUCACCUUUAAGGAAAGGGAGAAAGAUAAGUGCUUCGGAUCGCACUAAGGGUAGGAGGGAACCUGUGGUUAGGAAAAUGAGUUUCCAGGAUAAUACAAGUUUGGCACUAGUAAUCAGGAAGAUAAUGGAAGUGAGGAAUUUGUGAAUCGUCAGGAAAGGAGAGAAGAAGUCUAUUCAGCCCAAACCUUUAUGUCCCAAGCUACUAACAUCCUUAAUUAGUUACAAGAUUUGGUGGCUAAUGCUACUAUAAAGAAUAUGGCUUCAUCAAGCCAUGAACAAAGACAUAUAAGCCAUGAUGUUGCAAGUCCGGCUCCUGCUGACCCCUAUGCUACUACUUCAGCUCAAGUUUCUACUGUCCCAAACCCAGUCGUGACUGACCCUUUACCCUCCUUUUCUUGCCUCUCAGACCUUAUACAUGGUCACCAAACUUUAUUAUCUAGUUCACCUUCUCCCAUCCUUGAGCCUGAACCUGACCCACGUUUGCACCCAGUGAAUAAACAACAAAAUUUGAAUUCUCUCUCCUCUUAGAAAAGAAGGGCACGUCAGGGAAAGGGAAGCACUGUUUAAUCUCAGACAAUGCCCUUAUUGCGUUCGAAACCUUUCAUUUCUUAAAGAAUAAAUAUAAAGGCCGAGGGUACUUUGCUUUGAAAUUAGACAUGAGUAAAGCGUAUGACCAAGUGGAAUGACAUUUUUUAAGAAAUGUUUUUCUUAGAUUUGGUUUGGAUGUGAAACGGACGUACUUGAUCAUGAAUUGUGUUUCUACCGUUUCAUAUUCUUUGCUUAUUAACAGGGAACCAACAGAAAAAUCUGGAAAGACCGCUGGCUUACGGACCUAAAUCAUUCCUGAAUCAUAUCUCCUCCUAUGAUUUUGGAUGAGAAUGCAACUGUGAACCGGCUUAUUCUCCAAGACCCAAAGCAUUGGAAUGUGGAUUUAAUCUCAUCUAUUUUUGAUCCAUUGGAAGGUCGGAGCAUUAUGUCUAUCCCUCUCAACAUGCGACUCACUAAGGACGUUUUGGCCUGGCCUCUUACAAAUUAGGGUUUCUAUGCAGUACGCAGUAAGUAUCAUAUGCUGCAUCAGGAAAAAUUGUUUGGUUUGUACAGCUUCUCUUUUAAUCGGGUGCGUUCAACUCUAUGGAAGCAUCUGUGGAAGCAGAAUAUUCCCCCUAGGGUCAAGCAUUUUUGCUAAAAGCUUGUAUAAAUCACAUUCCUGUUGCUGAUGCACUUGUGCACAGAGGUAUGCAUAUUGAUCCGAUUUGCUCCGUCUAUGGGUUGGCCAUGGAGAACACCAUUCAUAUUUUAAAAGACUACAUCAUUAGCCCAACAUUUUUGAAAAUUUUCUCCUUUAAGGCGCGCUUAUCCGAUGUUGAACUUGUAUCAUCGCCUUUAUGAUAGGGCUGCUAACUACAUCAACCAAAACGUUAUUAGUAAAAUAAAUAUAUUUUUGACCAUUCACUUGGGAAAAAAUAGAUAAUGAGAAUAAAUUUUGUAAAAAAAUAUUCUAAUUUAUUAAUUUAGUCAUAAAUGCAAACAUAGAUCGACUCUAAGUAAAUUUUAUAUUCUAAAAAAAUAAUAGCUAAAACCUUAAUAUUUAUUAUUUUUUACGAGACUCCUCUCAGGACGAGAAUUCUACUAUUUAAUUCUUUCUUUCAACAAUUCAACAAUUUGACUUUAAUAAAACUCAAAUGUUUUGAACACCCAACCUACUAAAUUAGAAGGUAAAUAUUCUUGAGAUAAGAGGCAGUAACACUCCUGAUAAAGGUUUUUUUUUUUUUUUUUUUAUGUAUAAGACUUCAGAUUUCGGUUCAGAUGUUGGAUUCUUCAUUCCAGAUAUUAUAAAGGAUUCUUUUUUAACUGAUUUAUCAUUCAUCGCUCCUCAUAUAACUGAUAUUUGUGUCUGUUAAAAUGUUAUUUGUAAAUAUUAAAAAAAAAGACAAACGAAAAACCUUUUUUUUUUUUUAACUAAUCAUCUUCGUUUUCAGAUAUUUUAUUAUUAACUUUAAAUUGUAUAACCUAUCAAACAAUUAAUUAGAUAGAUUAGAUUUCUUCUCAGGAUUUAUUAAAUUGCGUAGAACGUUGGGUCUGCUGGGGUCCACCUGUGGCUGCUUUUCUCAAGUUAAAUAAAUAAUAAUCAAGCUACCUAUGGAUUGUAGUUCAAUUGGCAAUACGGACUGAACAUGUGGAAAGAGCUCUCAGGUUCGAUCUCACUAAACACAUCUGUAGGAAGGACCAAAUAACUUUAACUGUAACUGAACCUCCCUGAUAAUAAGUUUUCGAAUGAAAUAAUAAUAAUAGCCAGAACCCAAAGACAUUGUCAUCUCUAUAUUAAAUUAAUUCAUGAAGAAUUUUUUUAUAAAAUUGUUACUAUUUCAGUAUUUUGAAUAAUUAAAAAUACUUCCUAUCAUAAUGAAAAAAUUGAUUUUGAUAUCCAUACACGGAUAUAGGAUAUAGAAUAUAGAACAAGUCUUUCUCAAUAUUAUCAUCCACUUAUAAUAUUAGAUUCUAGUACAAUGCAAUUGAAUUUUUUUUGUUUUUUUAGAGAAAAUUUGUUUAGAUCAAAUCUAUGACCCUAUUUAUGAAUCAAAUCAAUUAAAAUAUAAAUUUUUAAAAAAUUAUUUCCAUUUUAUUUUAUUUUCUUCCUAGUGAAUAGUCAAUAAGUCUUAGGUUUGGAUCUCACCAAUAUUAUUAUAAAAUCUAAAUUUACAAAAAAAUUCUUGACUAUUUUUUUAAAGUAUAAAUGUCAAAUAUUAUUCAUAUUAACAUUCAUCAGCUAAUCGCUAUCAGCUACCAGCCACUAGCUAUUAGCAACCGCUAUCCACUUCAGCAGCUGUAAAAAUAUGAGAGAAUGACUAUAUAUGUCAUUAUUAUUAGGCCAAAAUUAUCAUUUAUUAAUAUAAGUUAUUUGAGCCAAUCAGGUAUGGUAUGAUUAUUUUCUCAUUUAUACAAGCAAUAAGAGGUCUCGAAUUCAAGUCUUUUUUACUAUAAGAAUUUUUACGAAUCUGAUGAAUUAAUGGUGGAUUAAGAGUUUUUACCAAUUUAGCGAAUUAAGAGUGAACUACCGCUAUCCACUUCAGCAGCUGUAAACAGCUAAACCAAACGAGCUCUUAAUUGUAAUUUUUUUAAUAUCUUAAGAGGAAAAUUUUUUAUAUAAUAUAUAAAAAAAAUAUGAGAGAAUGACUAUAUAUGUCAUUAUUAUUAGGCCAAAAUUAUCAUUUUUUUUAUAUAAGUUAUUUGAGCCAAUCAGGUAUGGUAUGAUUGUCUUCUCAUUUAUACGGGCAAUGAGAGGUCUCGAGUUCAAAUCUUUUUGACUAUAAGAAUUUUUACCAAUCUGAUGAAUUAAUGAUGGAUUAAGAGUUUUUACCAAUUUGACAAAUUAAGGAUGAACUACCUCAAUUAUUUAGCUCGUAAUGUUAAUUUCAAUCCAUUAAACAUGCGAGCGAAUAAAUUUGAAAUUUUGAAGUUGCUCGACAAUUCCUCUACGUAUUCCUAUUUGUUCAAAAUUCUGUCUGCAAAAAUUCCCGCUAGUUAGGUGGGCACGUUUUUAUUUCUUAGACAGUUUCUCAAUUAUUUAAUUUUGUCCCUCUUAUUAUGGAAAAGAAUAAGCUGGUCCCUAAAUCAAGAUCUCUUUUCAAAAAUUAACUAUAAAAUUCUUAAUUUAUAUAUUCAUUAAUACUUUGAUUUUUCUAUUUAGAACCAAAAUAUUAAUGAAAUUAUAAUUUUAACAUCUCAUAAUCAGUUUUAUUAUAAUUUAGGAAUCAAUUUCUCAGUCAAUUGAUAGCUAAAAAUGCUAUUUUAGAAGAAAAGAUUAAAGCAUUAAUAAAAUUAUAAGAAACGGAUCUCAUUGUUACUUUUUGAAAAUAUAAAUUCUCAUGCUUUAGUUAUAAAUUUGGGAAUUAAUUUUAAUUUUUUUUUUUUGCGGCUCCUUCAUCCAUUUAUAAUGGUUCUACCAAACUCUUUUUUUUGUUUUUUUUCAUAACUUUGGCAAUUUUCUUGUCUUUCUUGUAGACAAUUAUUCUUGAAUUAUCACAAAAUUAAAAUGUUAAAACAUGAUUACAGCUUUGUCUAUUUUUCCACUAAAAAAGAAUAAUUUUGACCCUCUUAAAUUUCUCAAAUGAAAGAAAAUAAAGAUAUUUUAAUACCCAUAUGUUAAAAGAAUGUUGGGAUCGAUGCUUCCACUUAUCCCCUUAAUGAGAUUACCUAUAAUAAUCUUAAUGAAAAUUUAGAAAUCCUAAAAUAUCCUUAGUUAUUGGUCGAAUGAUAAUAGUUUGAGUUUUUAAUAAUCGAUAAAUUAGAGUUUUUUUAAUACUUUUUUGUUAAUUGAUUAAAAAAAUAUUAUUAUAUUAAUAUAUUAUUUUAAUUGAAUUUUCAAUUAUUGAUUAUUUACCAUAUUAAUUGUUUGAAAAAACAAAUUAUUAUUUUAAUUUUAAAAUCAACUUCAAAAUGCAAUAAAAUAAGAUAAAAUAAAAAUAUCUAUAAAAGAUAUUGUUUCAUACGUUUAUAUAUAUAUAUAUNNNNNNNNNNNNNNNNNNNNNNNNNNNNNNNNNNNNNNNNNNNNNNNNNNNNNNNNNNNNNNNNNNNNNNNNNNNNNNNNNNNNNNNNNNNNNNNNNNNNNNNNNNNNNNNNNNNNNNNNNNNNNNNNNNNNNNNNNNNNNNNNNNNNNNNNNNNNNNNNNNNNNNNNNNNNNNNNNNNNNNNNNNNNNNNNNNNNNNNNNNNNNNNNNNNNNNNNNNNNNNNNNNNNNNNNNNNNNNNNNNNNNNNNNNNNNNNNNNNNNNNNNNNNNNNNNNNNNNNNNNNNNNNNNNNNNNNNNNNNNNNNNNNNNNNNNNNNNNNNNNNNNNNNNNUUGUGGUUGUAACAAUUUGCCGCAUAGUGAAUAUUUUUCUUGAUUGUCGUUUGGCAACGGCCGUGGUUUUUCUCCACUUGGGGAAUUUUCCACAUUAAAUUAUCGUGUUCUCUUUAAUUUCUCAGUCAUUAUUUUAUUUUCUCAUUUGUUCCUGCUUGAAGCCGAUCCCAAGGGCGGGAAAAUAGCGAUUUUCCCAACAGUUAGGUGGGCACGUUUUUAUUUCUUAGACAGUUUCUCAAUUAUUUAAUUUUGUCCCUCUUAUUAUGGAAAAGAAUAAGCUGGUCCCUAAAUCAAGAUCUCUUUUCAAAAAUUAACUAUAAAAUUCUUAAUUUAUAUAUUCAUUAAUACUUUGAUUUUUCUAUUUAGAACCAAAAUAUUAAUGAAAUUAUAAUUUUAACAUCUCAUAAUCAGUUUUAUUAUAAUUUAGGAAUCAAUUUCUCAGUCAAUUGAUAGCUAAAAAUGCUAUUUUAGAAGAAAAGAUUAAAGCAUUAAUAAAAUUAUAAGAAACGGAUCUCAUUGUUACUUUUUGAAAAUAUAAAUUCUCAUGCUUUAGUUAUAAAUUUGGGAAUUAAUUUUAAUUUUUUUUUUUUGCGGCUCCUUCAUCCAUUUAUAAUGGUUCUACCAAACUCUUUUUUUUGUUUUUUUUCAUAACUUUGGCAAUUUUCUUGUCUUUCUUGUAGACAAUUAUUCUUGAAUUAUCACAAAAUUAAAAUGUUAAAACAUGAUUACAGCUUUGUCUAUUUUUCCACUAAAAAAGAAUAAUUUUGACCCUCUUAAAUUUCUCAAAUGAAAGAAAAUAAAGAUAUUUUAAUACCCAUAUGUUAAAAGAAUGUUGGGAUCGAUGCUUCCACUUAUCCCCUUAAUGAGAUUACCUAUAAUAAUCUUAAUGAAAAUUUAGAAAUCCUAAAAUAUCCUUAGUUAUUGGUCGAAUGAUAAUAGUUUGAGUUUUUAAUAAUCGAUAAAUUAGAGUUUUUUUAAUACUUUUUUGCUAAUUGAUUAAAAAAAUAUUAUUAUAUUAAUAUAUUAUUUUAAUUGAAUUUUCAAUUAUUGAUUAUUUACCAUAUUAAUUGUUUGAAAAAACAAAUUAUUAUUUUAAUUUUAAAAUCAACUUCAAAAUGCAAUAAAAUAAGAUAAAAUAAAAAUAUCUAUAAAAGAUAUUGUUUCAUACGUUUAUUUAUUUUUAUUUAUAUCUAUUUAUCUAUAUAGAAGUUUUCCAAUUUAUAUGGUAUAGAUAAAUGCAACAUUUCAAUUUUUUUUUUCUUUUUUCAUGAAUAUUGGUUGUCAAAAUAUCAUAUACUUGCAAAACAGGUUCUUCUAUAAACACAGGAGCCGCGCAUACGAAAGGAUUUUAGAUAUCUAUAUAUUCUCUACAUCUCAACACAAAUUAAUGAAAGCAAGAUACUCUUAAAAAAAAAAUCAAAAAAUGGAUAUAAUGUGGUCCUCAAAGCUUUCAAGUAAUUGGAAUUUGUGGAUCUCAAUACCAUUAAUCUAAACCGGUAUCAAAUCUAAAAUCAAAAUGAUCUUUUCUAUUACCGACUGGAAUUUGUUUAUGUGGAAGUUCAGAUAUAUUGUUUAUGUGGAAGUUCAGAUAUAUUUGAGAUCUUUAUUAUUAUUAUUUAUUUUAGAGUUUUAUUUAUUUUAUUUGAUUUUCAUGAAUUCAAAUCAACAUCCAACGACAUAGGAUAAUAUUAUUUAGUUUUUUUUAAAAAAGAAAUCGAUACUAUUAACCUUAUCAUUUUCAAAAAAAUUAAAAUCUAAUCUUAUAAUUAAUAAUAAUUUAUUCAUUUUAUCGUCUAUAAUCAUUUUAUUAAAUAUACUUGGCUUUUAAUGUUGUUCUAUGAUAUUAAAAUAAGUUUAUGAAAAAUAUUAUUUGCUUAUUAUUUGAAUAUUAAAAAAUUAAUACUAUUUAAGAAUAAAUUAUAAUCAUACUCAAUACUAUAUAAGAAUAAAUUAAUGAGUAUAAAUUACAAAAAAUACCAAACAAUAACAAUGCAACGCACGUGGUAAAAAAUAGUAAGUACUAUUUAAGUUUUGAUACAUUUUCUAAAUUGACUCUGUCAUGAAUUAACAUGAAAUAAAGUGAUCCUAGAGAACAAAACCGGUUCCCGCGGCCCAUCCCGAGCCCCGAAGGUUAAAACAUAUUUUGGAUUGGGCUUGGUCUUAGGCUUAGGCUCGAGUAGUGAAGAGUCUCAAAUAUUUUUAUUGGGACGGACACCGAAGCAAAACCCCGCAUAUAUUCGAAUACGUUGAAUGGUUAGUUGUAGACAUGAGUAAAACAUAUGACCAAGUGGAAUGACAUUUUUUAAGAAAUGUUUUGCUUAGAUUUGGUUUGGAUGUGAAACGGACGGACUUGAUCAUGAAUUGUGUUUCUACUGUUUCAUAUUCUUUGCUUAUUAAGGGGGAACCAACGAAAAAAUCUGGAAAGAUCGCUGACUUACGGACCCGAAUCAUUCCUGAAUUAUAUCUCCUCCUAUGAUUUUAGAUGAGAAUGCGACUGUGAACCGCCUUAUUCUCCAAGACCCAAAGCAUUGGAAUGUGGAUUUAAUCUCAUCUAUUUUUGAUCCGUUGGAAGCUAGGAGCAUUAUGUCUAUCCCUCUCACCAUGCGACGUACUAAGGACGUUUUGGCCUGGCCUCUUUCAAAGUAGGGUUUAUAUGCAGUACGCAGUAGGUAUCAUAUGCUGCCUGAGGCAAAAUUGUCUGGUUUGUACAGCUUCUCUUCUAAUCUGGUGCGUUCAACCCAGUGGAAGCAGAAUAUUCCCCCUAAGGUCAAGCAUUUUUGCUAAGAGCUUGUAUAAAUCACAUUCCUGUUGCUGAUGCACUUGUACACAAAGGUAUGCAUAUUGAUCCAGUUUGCUCCGUCUAUGGGUUGGCCAUGGAGAACACCAUGCAUAUUUUAAAAGACUACAUCAUAGCCCAACAUUCUUGGAAAUUUUCUCCUUUAAGGCUCAUAACGUUUGAUUAUCGAGUCUCUGAGUUUCCAGGAAUGAUUUGAGAUUAUUGUCAGUAAGUUUCAGCAGGAGCAUAUUGAGCUUUUUUCGAUGACUGCAUGGCAAUAUGGCAUUCUCGCAACUUGGUCAAGUUUCAGCAAAAGCGAUUGACAUUUGAGGAGAUUACCCAGAUGGCUAUUGUCUGCUCAACAGAUUUUCAGCGGGCGAACGAGAUGGAGGUAGAUUCCCAAGAUGUUACUAUAGAACAGAAAUGACAGCCUCCUUCGCAUGGUUCGUUUAAGUUGAAUGUUGAUGCAUCGAUUAAGGAGAUGGUGGGCUGUGGCUACGGUUUCAUUAUCCGUGACGAGGAGGGGAAUGUAAAUAUUAUGGGAUUUGGCACUCAAUGUUCUUAUGUAGUCAUUCCUCCUGAGGAAGCAGAAGCUGAUGCUGCUAGCUUUGGUCUUUUUAUGGCGAUGGAGUUGGGCUUUACUUCAAUAAUUCUGGAAACGAACUCUCUUAUGCUAGCUCACCAGUAUGAAUGCUCAACAAUUCCUCUCUCUGACUUUGGUACUAGCGUCUUAAACACAUAUAUGUUAGCUACGAAUUUUGGCAACUUCAAAUAUGUUCAUGUUAGUACUAGGGUCUUUAGAGGACGUUAUUUGGGUGGAGGAGGCCUCACCUCUAUUGAGAAUUUUGUUUUUGUUGACAAUCCUUUUCUGAAUUUGUAAUAUUCAAAUUUGAUUUUCUCCACAAAAAAAAAAAUAAUAAUAAUAAAAUAAUGAAAAACUACUACAUAAAAUAGUUAGUAUUCCUAAACAUACCCUAAAUAAAUAAAAUAAUUUUAUUUACUUCUUUUUAUAUAAGAUAAACCUUACAUUACAUUUUUUUUUUCAAUCAAAUGAAAUAGUUAAAAUUUUAGAUUUGUUAUAAAUAAUGAAAUAAUGAUAUUACAAGAAAUUCGCUUUUUUCUAACUAAAUUUUAAAACUCAGCGUCACAAGGUUAGUCCAUCUAAUUAAAUUGACUGAAUUUCUUAACUAAUUUGUUAGUAGAUAUAUUUUCCAAUCAAUGCUAACACUAUAUAUGUGUGUGAGAGUUCAUACUAUCAGCAUCAACUAAAUUUGAACAGCAAUCAUAUGGAAGUAACAAUUGUUAUGUAAAAUAAAGUAGAAAACAUGAAUUGAUACAAAAUUAACCGAAAUUAUAAAUAAAAAAAAAAAUUCUUUUUCAUCUAGCCUUUUACCAUAUAUAAUUAUCUCUAUUCUUUUAGAUAAUCAAAUAAUAAUAUGCAUUCUUUAAUUUAGCCUUUUAUAUUUUUCCCCAUGUAACCAAAAAAAAAAAAAAAAAAAACAAAUUUUAACUAAAUAUACGGCUAAAUAAGCAAAUAAAAUUAUCUUUUAAUAACUAAACAAACUGUCAUUUAUUUGGUGAACUUUGUUAUUCUUGAUGAAAUCAUUUCUCUGAGUGACCGUUACCUGUUUUUUAAUUAACCAAUGAGAUUUUGACAAUUCACUGCCUCUUCAUCUGUAAAAAUUGAGGCAUUUUUAAAUUUAGUGAGAAACAUGUGUUUAUUAGACACCGGUACACAUGGCAUAAGAGAUAGUAAUUAAAAAAAAAAAAGAAUAUAACCAUAGAGCAUAAUCUUAUACACUGCAUCUUAAAUUCUAAAUUAGUAAAUCAUAAACUCUGAGACCUCUAAGGAAACUCUACACUCCUAAAGACCUAAACUAUAAACUCUAAGAUCUUAAUAAGCCAUUAAUAUUUUUUUUUAUUUUUUAUUUUAUUUACAAUACUUGGAGCAUGGAGCAUGACCAAACAAUAAGACUUCAGAUUUUUUUUUUUUUUUUUUGAAAUGUAUAAGACUUCAGAUUUUGAUUCAGACGUUGGAUUCUUUCAUUCCAGAUAUUAUAAAGGAUUAUUUUUUAACUGAUUUAUCAUUCAUCACUCCUCGUAUAACUAAUAUUUAUGUCUGCUAAAAUGUUAUUAGUAAAUAUUAAAAAAAAGACAUACGAAAAACGUUUUUUUUAACUAAUGAACUUCGUUUUCAGAUAUUGUAUUAUUAACUUUAAUAAACAAUUGUAUAACCUAUCAAACAGUCAAUUAGAUAGAUUUAUUAAAUCGUGUAGAACGUUGUGUCUGCUGGGUUCCACCUAUGGCUGCUUUUCUCAAGUUGAAUAGUAAUAAUUAGGCUAUCUUUGAAUUACGUUUCAAUUGAUAACACAUCAAUUGAUAACGCAGACUGAACAUGUGGACAGAAAUUUUAGGUUCAAUUCCAUUAAAUAAAACGUGCCAGAACCCAAAGACACUGUCGGUAUAAGAUUUAUCUAACUGAUAUUUCUUACACACUUCCAUUUUGACACUUCUAAAACAUUUAAAAAUUUUAUAAAACUUUUAUAUAAAUUUAUUAAUAAAAAAUUUUGGAUUGUGGUAUUAAAUAUAAAUUAAAUAAUUAUCUGCAGUUCAAAUAAAAAAAAUUAAAAGAUAUGUAAAAGAAGGAGAGAAAAGACGCAAAUCAUUAUUUACAAUUUGUAAGUUUAUUGGAUAUAUAUUUAUUAUUGUCAAAUUUAAGAGCUGGUUCACAAUAUUGGAUAUGUAAAUUUUUAAUUAUAAAAAUUUUGGGCUUCUAUCAAGUAAAGCCUACAAUAUUAUAUUAAGCGAACUAAAAUAUGAUAUUGAAAAUGAAUGCAAUUUAUAUAAAUAACUCCUAGAUGAGGGCCAUAAUUUUUAACAAAGACAUUGAUAUUAAAGAAUUAACUAAUCAUGCUAGAGCCGAAAGUUAUGUUGUUUAGUUUAUAUUUAUGUGUGAUUGUGAAUGAUUAUUUAUUUAUUUAAAUUUUAACAAAUUAUAUCUUUUUUAUUUAUUAAGAGGCUCAACAAGUUGAAACAACAUUUCGGGCUAUAUAAUAAAAGUAAUUUUGCUCACUAAAAUUAUGAAACUCUUGUGGUCGAGAGGAUUUGAACCUCAAACCUCUCAUUCUCUACUUUUGAUAUAAGUGAAAAGACGAAACAAACCAGACAUUAUUACUAAUAAUAAAUUAUAUUUUUUAAUAUAGUAUAACUUACUUUUUUUUUUUAAUUCUAGUAUUUCAUGUUUCGUGUCUGUAUUAUAUUAGAUCCUACGUUCUAUAUUUAUAUCUAUGCAAUAUAAGAGAGGACUUUAUUUAAAUACCACCUACGAUUUAAUAAUAAAAAAAGUGUAAAUAAAAAAUAAUAAAAUAAUAAAUGGUCAGCUAUUAAUAAAUGGGAGGGCAAAGUAAAUUUUUGAUUUAAAUUGUGUAUGGUAUAGUAACAUUAAAAUUGCUUUUCUUUAUUGUUAAACUUAUCCACAAAAACUUACCAUAAUCAAGGAAGAUCGUACAACGUUAUUCUCGUGUCGAAUAACACUUGUUAGAUUUACUUAAUGGGCCCCAGAUAUGCGUGUUAGCUUUUAGUAUGAUCAUUUUACAUUAUAAAAUAAAUUAUUUACACUAAUACCUUCAUCAAAUCAAGAUGUAACUCACUAAUAAUAAACCCCUAUACAUCCCCAUCGCAAGCUACGUGCAUGUUAUCCAGCAAAAGCAAGUCUCUUCGCUUUCCUCUUUCCCGCGCUCAUUCGCCGUAGCUCUGAACUUGAAAUCCUUUAGGGAAAAACCAAUAUGGCCAUGAACGUCUCCUCCACAGAUUUCCUUACCCCAGCCGCCGCAGCCACCUCAACCUCCAGUACCAACACCAUCAAAGCUCUACUCGUCACCCUAUUUAUCUCCAUUGUUAGUACAGUUAUAAAACUUCAAAGGAGAGCUGCUCUCAAAAAAACCAGCAAAAUUCUCCCACUACCUCCCGGCCCAAAACCCUGGCCAUUCGUCGGAAACAUACCGGAAAUGAUCCGGUAUAGACCGACUUUCCGGUGGGUUGAUCAACUCAUGAAAGAAAUGAAUACCGAUAUUUGUCUUAUUCGUUUCGGGAGAACUAAUGUUAUUCCUGUCAAUUGUCCGAUUAUUGCACGUGAACUGCUCAAGAAAAACGACGCCAUUUUCUCUAACAGGCCAAUGAUUCUUUCUGCUAAAGAAAUGAGUGGUGGUUAUCAAACUGCCAUUGUCGUCCCUAACAAUGAUCAGUGGAAGAAAAUGAGAAAAAUAUUAACUUCAGAAAUUGUUUCACCUGCUAAACAUAAGUGGCUGCACGACAAAAGAGCAGAAGAAGCUGAUAAUCUUGUAUUUUAUAUCCAUAACCAGUACAAGGCCAACAAUAAUGUCAAUCUGCGACUUGUUGCAAGGCAUUAUUGCGGAAAUGUGAUAAGAAAAAUGAUGUUCAGUAAAAGAUACUUUGGUGAAGCAACGCCAGAUGGCGCACCGGGACGCAUGGAGAUAGAACAUGUGGACUCAGUUUUUGCUGUUUUGAAAUACUUAUACGCAUUUUGUAUUUCUGAUUUCAUGCCUUUCUUGCUAGGGCUUGAUCUUGAUGGACAGGAAAAAUUUGUUCUUGAAGCUAAUAAGACUUUAAGGGCUUUUCAUAAUCCUAUUAUAGAUGAAAGGAUUGAACUGUGGAGGAGUGGUCAAAGGAAGGAAAUGAAAGAUUUGCUUGAUGUUUUUAUUACUCUUCAGGAUUCUGAUGGAAAGCCAUUGCUGACACCUGACGAGAUCAAGAGUCAAGUAGCUGUAAGAACUUAAAACCUAUAUAUUUACAAGCUUAAAUAUUUUCCUGAUUCAUGAUAUUUUGAUUUUUCCAUUUGUUGCUUUUUCCUCAUUCAAGAAUUUCAAUAUAAAAUAAGAUGAAAUGAAUAGAACAUAAAUCUUACAAAUUCAAGAAAUAAUAAAUAUGAUAUUUUUGUUUGAAAAAAAAAAUACAUGUGCAGAUCCUUACAAAAUCCUGUAUUACAAAAACUUUGCAGGAAGUUAUGAUAGCGACAAUAGAUAACCCUUCAAACGCAGUGGAAUGGGCCAUAGGAGAAUUGCUAAACCAACCAGAAAUUCUUAAGAAAGCAACAGAAGAAAUAGACAGGGUGGUCGGAAAAGACAGACUUGUCCAAGAAUCAGACAUCCCUGAUCUUAACUAUGUCAAGGCAUGUGCAAGAGAAGCUUUUAGGCUCCAUCCUGUAGCCUACUUCAACCCACCUCACGUUGCUGCGCAAGACGCUGAAAUUUGCGGUUAUUUGAUCCCUGAAGGUAGUUGGGUCAUGCUCAGCCGAUAUGGUCUGGGCCGAAACCCAAAGACCUGGCCUAACCCACUCAAGUACGACCCUGAACGCCAUUUGAAUGAAGGAGAAGUGGUUUUGACCGAACAUGGCUUGAGAUUCAUAUCAUUUAGCACGGGAAGGCGCGGUUGCAUCGCGGCUUUACUCGGAACUUGCAUGACUACUAUGUUAUUGGCAAGAAUGCUUCAAUGCUUUACCUGGAAUCUGCCGGAUAAUGUCGAAAAGAUUGAUCUUUCCGAAGGGGUCGACGAGCUUUUUCCGGCCAAUCCCGUGGUGGCUUUUCCAAAGCCACGUUUGGCUCCUCAUCUUUAUCCUACUUCGCCAUGAAUGAAUGAACGGAGGGAUAUUAAGAUAUGCAAUUAAUUCAGAAUACUUUGAAAUCUGAAAUAAAUAAAUAAAAUCCGACUUGCAUGGUUAUAUCUGACUUGCAUGGUUAUUAUGUUAGGAGGUGAAAUUUAUGAGUAGAAGUUGCAUGUGGUGGUAGCUUUAUUGAAAGUAUCUUUACAACGUUUUUGUAUUUCAUCAAUGGUUGCAACUGUUUCAUUAAGUAAAUUUGCUAUUAAUUAAAAAAAAAGUCUUUCUUUCAUUUCUUUUAAUUAAUUUAGGCUUGCAACUUUAUAAUCUUGAACCAGUAUUAGCAUUGAUGGAAAUGGACUCAUAAACAAUCCGUCAGAAUCCCAAUAAAUGUAAAUAGAUCCAAAAGAUUUGAAAAUCAAUUGUAAAAAGAAAAAGGGAGAUAGAAGAAGACCCAUGCAAGCUCAUAGUUGUAAGGUUUUGAUAGUUGAAUGUGAAAGAAUUUGUAUUGUAUUGUUGUAUGAUUUACAUUAUACGACACCCUUAGAUACAUUAAGAUACACUCAAAUUCAUAAUAGGAUACACUCAAAUCAUAAUAGGAUACACUCAAAUCAAAAUUAGAUACAUUAAGAUCAAAUUCAUAUAAACUUGGAUCACUUAGAUUUUAUUCUGAUAUUGAUAUGAAAAAUAUCAAUGGAGUAGAUGAGUAGUACAUAUAUAGAAGAGAGAAAAGAGGAGUGCGAGAGAGUUUAGAGUUGCGAUGCUGAUUAGCAUAACCUUGUUUGUCUUCGUUGACAUAGAUAAUGCUUCUUUCUCUUUUCACAUCCUUUUCACCAUAGAAAUUACUUGUAUACUUUCAGUGUGGACCAAUAUCGUAAAGUUAAAGUAAUAAAGUUUAAGAGAAAAUUAUAUAUUCAGUCGUUUUUAAGUUUAUAUUUAUGUGUUAUUAUGAAUAAUUAAUUAUUUAUUCGAAUUUUUAAAUAAAUUUUAAUAUAUUGUGGCAUAUUUUUUAAAAAAUUGUCAUGUCCAUUACGUGUCAUAUUAUGUCUCAUUUCCCAUGUCUAUAUCUAUGCAAUAUAUAUAAGAGAAGGCUUUACAUUGCAUAUAGAUUAGCUCUUUUUUGAAUUUUGUUAUAAAUAUCUAAUAUAAGUCGUGAGCUAUUAUAAAAAUGGGAAGGGAAAGUAAAUUUUGAUUUCAAUUGUGGUAUGGUACAAUAAAAGUAUUUGCUUUCUUUAUUGGAAUUCAUUCAUAAAAACUUGAUUUUAUGUGUCAAAAUACGUCCAACUGUGCAAGUUUUAUAAUUUGACUUUAUUUUGAUAUUAUUUUUAUCAAUUUUUCCUUAAUAUCUAUCUUUAUAACAAUUACAUCCUCAAAUAUAGAUAAUAUGAAAAUAAGGUUCGUAUUUAUAUUUCUUUAGAUUUAUUUUUAUGUCAUGUUUCAGGAUUUUUUGUUCGGUAAUAUAAAUUUCUAUUAUUAAAUUAUUAGAUAACCCAUUUAUUUUAAAAUUAAAAUUUAAUUUAUGUAAGAUUAAUUGGAUAGAGUAAUGGAAUUUUUUUAUAUUUAUAUUUUUAAAAAUUUUCAAAGUGUAACAUGAUGAUUUAGAAAUGUUGGAAAUACUUUUUUUAUAUUUGUAAUUCUAGCAUUAAUUGCCGUGGAGUAAAAUUGAAGUAAAUGGUUCAAAUUGAAGUAAAAUUAAUAAAAAAAACAUUAAAAUAUAGGAAAAUUGUUACUUUUUAUACAUCAAGUCAAUCUAUUUAAAUUAUUACUUUUUUUAUCCUUUUUAUAUAAGUAAAUGAUAACUCAGAGAAAUACUCUCGUUUGAAUUAAAAAGUUAUUUUCUGAUUGGUUUAGCCCAUCAUAUACGAGGAGUAGAUAAGUUAUUUCCAUUGAGUAAAGUCCUUCAAAUAGCAAGCACACCAAUUUUGAAUCCUUUACACCAGUAAGUAAAAUUAGGGGAUCCAAUGGAUUGGACAUCUCUUUAAUUGACUCGUCAAAUUAGUGAACAUCUCUCACUUUUUAUACUAAUGAAAAGACUAAUCAAACUAGACCAAGUUGGUAAAUGGAGUGAACUUCAACCCAACUGCAUAUUGAUUAUACACUAUAUCUUUUUCAGAUGUACAUGAUUUACAAAUGAAGAUAAAAAAUAAAAAACUUUCUUUAAAUAUUUAAUGCUUCAGUUGUCUCUGUUAUUGUAAGCUCAUCUCUUCAUUUUUCUUUUGUAUCCUCAUUGGAAGCCAUACAAAGUUAAUACAAAACCAAUAGGCUAACCCAGCUACAUACACUGCUCAACCAUUUGUCGUAUAUUGUUGAUUCUCGAAAUACAUAUAUAACAGCAAAAUUCCAUUAAACCCACAAUGUUACUCACGUCACCACCCCAAUGUUAUUCCUGUGUUGGUUUGUCUCUAACUUUAUAUCGGUUUGUAUUUCUUCUGUUAUACUGGUUACACAAUUAGGAAAAUUAGUCAUACUUCUUAAAUUAGUAAUAUGCAGACAUUGUUCGGCAAAAUUAAUUAUUUUAGUAUGUUUAUUUUAUAAUAGUAAAAAAAAACUAAAUCCCACUUGAAAAACUUUUACCAAAAAAGACCUUUAAGUAUUUAUAUUAACUAGCAAGUCAAGAAUUUGAAUGCUACUGUUUCUGUCCUUUUUCAAAUAUCUUACUGGGCAAAGUUUUCAUAUAAAUUGGUAAACAACCGCUUGUUAGCGUAUAAAGAGAGAUCAAUCCCUAAUUACCAAUCCUUCUUCUUAUAUGAUUUUCAUGGCUAGCAAUAGAAUCUCCUAUGCCUUAGAAUUACUUUGCAUAGAUCCUUUACCAUUCAAAGUAUUUCUAAUUCUUUUAGCCAUUUUAAUCUUCCUUCUCAUGUCAAGACCCCAAUGUUAUUCCUGUGUUGGUUUGUCAAGGGUUAAACCCACAAAACGUGGCAUUAUUAGUAAAUGGAUGCUUCCUGUCACGCCAAUUACGUUGGUGUUGAUCGUGCAAUGCUUAUCUUCUUCCAAUGGUACUUUCUUUGCCACUUUAUCGCCAUUGUUCUUGUUUUCUAUCAGGAAUUCGCAUUGGUUUGUCUCUGCUUUGAUUUGGCAGUUACUUGUUAUGGCAUAUUUCCAAUUAACCAUACGUCAGAAAUUGUAUUCUUCCUUUUAGGAAAAUUUAAUUCACUGUUGCAGUUGUUUUUUGAGGGAGAACUAAUUGGGUAUUAACAGAAACAAAAAGUUUCUUUUUUUAUGAAAUUUUAUUUGAAAUUUCAUAUUCUUAUGUUUGGUAAAAUGAAAAUUUACUCAUUUUAAUUUUCAUAGAUUCCAUUAGUGAUUGAGAUUUUAGUGUACUUCCUUGGAGCAUAAUUCUUAUUAUUAAGUUAAAAAAACAAGUUUGUGUUAAUUAAUUAAUAUCUAUUUAAAUUGAUUGAUUCAAGAUAGUUAUUUUUAUUUAAUUAUUCUCUAUUCAAAAGCUAUGAAAUUGCAGUGAUAUAAGGCUGCCUUACCAGAUUUUAGCAUUGUUGAGGACAAAUUAGAAUCGUUCUUUCUACUUCUUUUUGUAUGUAAAGAAGAGAAAUAUACAAAACACCAAGAAAUGGUUUCAUUAUACAAACUGUAACUACACAAAUUUAACAUGAAAAAGAAAAAACAAUGGAGAAAAUCUCACUUGAGCAGUCAAACUUGUAUGAGAUCAUAGAGCAUUUUCUUUUUUUUCUGUUUUUAAAUACAUGAUCGCUACAUAAAAAGGAAAGGAAAUAUCAAAGCUGACCCAAAAAAAGGUACUACGUGCUUCAACAAAUGCUGUAGAUAAUUCUGCAACAUCAUCUUCCGCCAGAUAGCUCGAUAGCAUCCUGGUUAUAUAAUGAAUCUUCUCCCCAGUCAAAUCUUCUUUGCAGCCUUUCAUAUUCUUGCCUGCGCGAAACCUCAAUAUGCUGCCACUCAUAAUGCAACCUGGAUCAUCAUCUCCAGGUUAAGAUUUUUUUAAGAUUUUUUUUUUUAAAGAUUUUUUCUAAGGAAUUGUCAAUUUUCAUUUAUCUCAAGUGUUGUUUAUGAUUUUUUUUUUUUUUUUUUUUUAAAUAUCCCGCUUCAUUUGUCAAUUUAGAAAAUCAAGAAAACAUUAAUUACUUGUUUCAACCUUUACCCUUGAUGUUUGGUAUUUCCCCUAAAUAAGCAUUAAUUAUUUAUAGAGUUGAUACGAGAGUAUGUAUUCAAUUACAACUAUUUUUCGCUGAAACUAAGGUUAUUUAAUGAUUUUCUGAAUCCUUGUGCAAUUAUCUCAAACAACACUUGGAACGGAGGUAUAUAUAUAUAUAUAUAUAUUAUUGAAUUCAAUGUCCUAUUUUAAAUUACAUGUGAAAGAGGUGCACAAGGUUCAUAGGAAUCAUAUUCCUUAAGAAUUCGAUAAUACUAUGUAUACUGGGGUUUCCUAAUCCUUGCCAAUAUAGAUCAGUGCUGUAACUAUUUUCAUGAUUGGAACAUAGUUUAUAAUUCCUAUUCAAAUACAAAAUUCUUAGUAAACAUAGUGUACCAUGUCAAUUGCAGACAAAGCCUUUCCAAAUGACACAGUGUUGUUAAAUGAUAAUUAAAAAUCAAAUAUUAACAUUCAUCUGAAUGGUAAAUUCACAAGUUCAGCAUCGAUGAGUGUUUAAAAUUGACCAUCUUUCAAUAACUAUCUAAUUUAUUAGGUUUAGCAUACAACUUCCAUUGUUGACGGUCUAAAUAAAAUUUUCUCAUUCAAACAUCCAACUUCCUCUUGUUCUCCACCAUGUCCCUAAUAAUAUGGAUUUAUCCUUGCCUAAUCUCUGUUGUAACAGAAAUCUAGAACGACAUACUAAGUUGAUAGGGAAUAUAUGGCCUACUCCAAAAUUAUCUAUUGAGCAGCCAGACACUCUUUGAAGUUAUGGAGUGUAGUACAAAGCAUAGUGAUGGCAGACGACUUUCUAAUGCCAAUUUAGUAAAGCUUCUCCUGUGCACCUUUGAUAAGUAUUUUAUCAAAUUUGAAUCAUUCUGAAUUUUAAUAACAGCAAUCUAACUGAAGUAUUCUUUUAUCCACUCUGGAAUAGACCUAAACAGGCAUGUCAAAUGGUAUGCAAUCAGUUGUUCUUAGUUUGCUCGAGACAGAAAAUCUCCCUACCCCUCAAAGCAUAUAUAACCUUAGGUAUGCAUUACAUCUCGAACUAAAAAAAAUAAUCUUUCUAGAUAAUCAGUUGAUUAGGAUUGAACAGAUUUAAGCAAGCUUGAGAGAACAAUGAACAAAUCAAUGAAUAAUAGAAAGAAUGAAUGGAAGUUGCAGAGAGAUCAAUCAUUCUCUACUGCAUCUCUAAACCGUAAUACUCUGUUCUACCAAAUAUCUGCUGUACAAGAGAGUAUUUAAGAUCUAUUGGACAAAUAACUAACUAUGAGUUUUGCUAAGAAUACUGAGCUGUGAUGAUUAUUGGGCAAUGGUGCUGUGAUAUUUAAUAUGGACAGACUGUGACUGAAGUAUCUCCUAUACCCCCUCCUCAAGCUGGUGUUGGGGAGAAGUCAACCAACCCAAGCUUGGAAGAAAAGGACUGAAACAUGGUUGUGGAUAGGGGCUUAGUGAACACAUCUGCAAGUUGCAAUGUUGAAGGCAGGUAAGGUGUGCUAAUGAAGCCUAAGAGAAGCUGGGAUCUGACAACAUGACAAUCAAUGUCGAUGUGUUUGGUCCUUUCAUGAAAAACGGGGUUGGCAGUGAUGUGAAUUGCUGCUUUGUUGUCACAAUGAAGUGGUAUUGGUGUUGGGAUUGUAAUGUGGAAAUCAGAAAGAAGGGAAUGCAGCCAUUUUAUUUCACAAACUGUUGUAGCCAUGGACCUAUACUCGGAUUCUGCAGAGGACCUGCUUACAGUGCUCUGUUUCUUUGAUUUCCAUGAGACCAAAGCAGUGCCUAGGAAAAUACAGUAUCCUGUAGUAGACUUUCUAGUAUCAGCACAUGAUGCCCAGUCUGCAUCAGAAAAAGCUCUGAGCUUCAUGUCAUUCUGUGAAGGGAGGAAUAGGCCUCUAUAACUGGUUCCCUUCAAAUACUUGACCACUGUCAAUGCAGCCUUAAGGUGUUGUUGAUCAGGUGAUUGCAUGAACUGACUUAGCUGCUGGACAGCAAAGCUAAUGUCAGGUCUUGUUAGUGACAAAUACAGAAGUCUGCCAACAAGUCUCCUGAAAACAUCGGGAUUUUGGAGAGGAGAUCCCAUGUCUGAACUGAGCUUCAGUCCCUGAAUAAAAGGGCUAGAGCUUGGUUUUGCAUUCUGCAAUCCAGAAUCUUUGAUGAUAUCUAUGAUGAACUUGUGUUGAGUGAGAAGAAUUCCUUCAGUUGAUCUAGCAAUUUCAAUGCCAAGAAAAUAUUUUGCAUAUCCCAGGUCCUUUAUAGUAAAUUGGUGAUGCAGAUAGUCUUUGAGGUCUUGAAUGAGCUCCUCGGAUGGGCCGGGUAUAAUGCAAUCAUCAACAUAAACCAGAAUAGCAAGAAAGGAAUCGCCUUUGCCUUUUGUGAACAGGCAGUUGUCAAACAUGGACUGUUGAAACCCUUUAGAAAUUAAACUUGCAGAAAGUUCCUUGUUCCAUUGUCUCCCUGCUUGCUUUAAUCCAUAGAGAGAUCGCUGCAAUUUACAUACUUGGCCUUUGUGAGCUUUGUCAUAACCUGGUGGUACUUGCAUGUAUAUAGUUUCAUCAAUGGAUCCAUGCAAGUAGGCAUUGUUGAUGUCUAGUUGAUGAACAGACCAAGCUUUAGCUGCUGCCACAGUUAAGAACACUCUUACAGUUACUAACUUUGCCACAGGAGAAAAGGUCUGGUUGUAAUCUAAACCCAGCAACUGACUGUAACCCUUUGCCACAAGUCUGGCCUUGUAUCUGUCAAUGCUUCCAUCUGGUUUAUACUUGAUCCUGUAUAUCCACUUACAUCCCACAGGUUUGACAUUAGGAGGUAAAUCAGUUAGUGUCCAUGUAUUGUUAUUUUCAAGAGCAGUUAAUUCUUCAUGCAUGGCAGCUACCCAAUUUUUAUCAUUUUUAGCUUGAUUAUAAUUGCUAGGUUCCUUGACUUUAGACACAUGUGCAACAAAGGUUUGGUGUGAGGGUGUGAAAUGAAUAGAAGCUGGUGUUUGAGUGGAUGAGAUGUGAGAAACCACAAAGUCUUGUAACCAGGUUGGUGUAUGUUUGGUUCUUAUGCUUCUUCUUAAAGCAGGAGCCUGUACUGAAUCUGCUGAUAAAGAUUCAGGAAUAGGUGGUUGGGUAAUAGCUGGUGCAGUAGUACUGGGCUGUGAUGUGCUGUGUGGAGACAAAUUUGAUGUUCUAUUAUCUGAAGAUGAGGGAGUUGUAUUAUUUUCGGUGAAUGGAGGGGAGGGUGGUAUUGGUGAAGUAUUUCUGGAUGGAUUUUGCUAAAAAACAUCAAAUGUGGUUACGGGAAAUGAAAUUGGGGAUAGAUGUGUAUCAGAAAUGCAAGUUGGUAGUGUAAAGUUUGUUAUGGUUUCAGGUGUUUUGUGGUGAAAAGGGAAAAUGGUUUCAAUAAAGAUUACAUCUCUUGAAUGGAAUACAGUUUUGGUACUGAGAUUGUACAACUUAUACCCUUUAUGCUGUUGAGAAUAACCAAGGAACACGCAAGGAUGGGCUCGGGGCUCAAACUUCAGUUUGUGUGGCAGUAUAUUAGUUGAGUAACAUAAACAUCCAAUGACUCUGAAGUGGGCAUAUUCUGGAGGUUUAUUAUAUAAUCUUUCAUAGGGUGUUUGCCAUUUGAGAUUUUCAGAAGGAAUUCUAUUUGAUAUGUAGGUUGCCGAUAACAAGGUUUCAGACCAGAAUUGAGUUGGGAAUUUGGCUUGGUGGAAUAUAGCUCUAGCAAUAUUUAUUAAGGUUCUAUGUUUCCUUUCCACUACUCCAUUCUGUUGAGGAGUAUGUACACAAGUUCUUUGAUGAAUAAUGCCUUUUUCAAAAAAAAAUUUCUGACAUUCAGAAUUUAUGAAUUCUGAGCCAUUAUCAGAUCUGAAGAUCUUGAUAUUUUGUUAGAAUUGUGUAAGAAUUAACUGGUAAAAAGAUUUCAAGGCAGAUGGCACUUGAAUCUUGGUUGUUAACAUGUAAGUCUAGCAGUAUCUACUGUAAUCAUCCACUAAAGUCAACAUAUACACUGCAUUUGUAAGAGAUUUAACACUGUAUGGUCCCCAUAAAUCCAUAUGUACAAUCUCAAAAGGUUUUAAAGUAGAAAUUUGACUAGUGAAAAAAGGUAAUCUGGUUUGUUUAGCAAGAGGACAAACAGGACAUGCCAUAUCCACAAAAUCACAGUCAUGUACAUCAUUUACAUGUUUCAAUCUCUUAUUAGAGAUAUGACCUAAUCUAGCAUGCCACAACAUUGCCAGAUGUUUAUUAUGACUAUUACAUUGAGCUAACACAUUGUUUCCCUUAUUUUGAAUGAAAGAUUCUUUUGUCAUGUAGUAUAGAUCUUCAUAAACUUUUCCCACUGCCAGUAAUUCCUCAGUCUAUAAAUCCUGGAGUAAGCAGUCUUCAGGAAAUGAGUGCACAGACAAAUGACAUGUUUUGGUGAGUAAGUUGACUGAAAUAAGGUUGCAGCUAAAGGAAGGGACAUACAACACAUUGUAUAGAGUAAUUCUAUUAUUCAGUUUAAUAUUUCCAAUGUGAGUAACCUGUCUAGUGGAAUUGUCAGGUAAUCUAAUGGUUUUGGGAGGGUUCAAUUUUUGUACAAGGUCAAAGAAUGAUAGAUUGGCAGUGAUAUGGUCUGUUGCACCUGAGUCUAUUAUCCAGUUACUUUUGCAAUUAAAAUCAAUGCUAUAAAUGACAGAAUUGAGUAAGGUACCUGCAAAGUGAACACUCCUGAUGUCGGCAUCAACUUGCUCCGUCUGAUAAUCCAUUUGCUGCUGCAGUGGUGUAUCAUUCAUCUGAACUGCAUUCCCCGUGUUCGUUCCAGUCAUGUUGAUUCCUUUCUUCUUUUGCAAUUCAAUGAACCAGUCUGGAUAUCCAUGAAUUUUGAAGCAGUUAUCUAUGGUAUGACCAUUCAUUUUGCAUUUGGAGCAAUAUUUGUCUUUCUUGUCUUCCUUUCUGUUGUAGUAUGGUUUCCUAUUACCAGUUGCAGCUGAAUUGUUGUAAUUGCUGUUGUAGUUCCUUCUAGCUAACAAUACUGUUGAAGUUUCACUAGAUUCCACAUUCAAUGUAUUUACCUCUCUUUGCUUCUCAACACUUAAAAUCAUGGAAUAAGCUUUGUUGAUUGAAGGAAAUGUAUCCAUUAAAAGGAUAUGAUUCUUUACAUUGUCAUAUUCAUCACCUAGUCCCAUUAGAAACUGCAUUAGCCUUCUACUGUUGUCAUAUUCUGUGAUUGCGUUUGUUUGGCAGCAACAUGUAGGUAAAGGUGCCAAACACAGUAAUUCAUCCCAUUUUCUUUUGAGAUUUGUAUAAAAACUUGUGACAGAUUCGUUUCCUUGCUUGUAACUUGCAAUUUCUCUCUCAAUCUUGUAUAUCAUUGGGCCAUUACACUCUCCAUAUCUCUGUUUUAGCUCAUCCCAAAGUACUUUUGCAGUUUUGCAAAAUACAAAAGCAUCUGAUAUCUCCUUAGACACAGCAUUAAUGAUCCACGAAGCUACCAUGCUAUCUGCUUGUAACCACCUCUCAUAUUCUUCUGACUGUGAUUCAGGUUGAGCUAUGGUUCCAUUGAUAAACCCUAACUUGUUCUUCGCCCUGAGAGCUACCAUUACAGAUCUGCUCCAUGAGAUAUAAUUCUCUGGUCCUCUUAAUGAAGAAUUUACCAACCGAAAUCCAGGAGAUUCUGAGUUAUUCACAUGUAAAGGAUCAUUAUCAUGAUUUUUGCUAGUAACUGCGGCGAUAAGUCUUGCCACAUCUUCUGGAGUCAUCAUCUUGAUGUUUAACCAGAUCUAAAACAAAUUUAACUCUUGAAUUGCAGAAAUCCAAGAAACAGAUUAGUUAACCUGCUCUGAUACCAUGAACAGGAUUGAGCAAGCUUGAGAGAACAAUGAACAAAUCAAUGAAUAAUAGAAAGAAUGAAUGGAAGUUGCAGAGAGAUCAAUCAUUCUCUACUGCAUCUCUAAACCGUAAUACUCUGUUCUACCAAAUAUCUGCUGUACAAGAGAGUAUUUAAGAUCUAUUGGAAAAAUAACUAACUAUGAGUUUUGCUAAGAAUACUGAGCUGUGAUGAUUAUUGGGCAAUGGUGCUGUGAUAUUUAAUAUGGACAGACUAUGACUGAAGUAUCUCCUAUAAGGAUAAAAUUCUAUCCUCUAGAAACCGUACAUGCGCCUUUUGAUGCAUACGGUUCAACACAAAUUGCGAAAACAAAAAAAAGAAUCAAUGUGUAGAUUCCAGCCCUCCUUUGACCAGCUAUUACAUGAUCAUUGAGCAAUAUGUUUGGCGCAUGCUUUCAGGAAUAUAUAAAAUUAGCCACAUCUACAAUGCAUAAAAUGCCAAUGAAUGAAAAAGCAAAUUGUUAGUUGCUUCCAUUUAAAUAUAAGGCGAACGGGUAAUACCUCUUAGACGAUAUGCCACACGUAAAUUCGGCAUAAAUGGAUAAACUAAAAGGCGUUCUGAUGGUGUUGCGCAAAAACCUAUCAGCCGUAGUAGAUUCCUUUUAACAGCUACGCUUAUCAUCUCAACCUCACGUUGGAAAGCUGCAUCUCCUCCUGGACUUUCAAAAUCAGUUAAACGCUUAACAGCUAUUUUUGUGUUAUCUUGAAGCACUCCUUUAUAAACUUUUCCAAAACCUCCCUGUCAAAAUCUAAUUCUUUAGAGAUACUCAACUAACUCUCAAUUGAAACAUUCUAUUCAGGUACACAAUAUCAAUAUAUUUCAUUCAAUUUUAAUUAUUUAUCAUUAUCUUACUGAUUUAAACAUCGUACCGAUUCCACAAAUAGCAUAGAGGACGAAUGACAUAUCUAAAGGUGUUAUAAAUCAUCCAACCCUCAAUACAAUAUUUUAUUAUCAUAUAGUCUCUCUUUUUUUUUUUUUUUUUUUUUUGGCUAUCAGAUAUUUUUCAAUUAUAUUUUUGCAUUUAUAAAACUAAAUUUUGUUUUGUUUAGAGGAGUUUAAUAACACAUCUCUUCACAAUAUAUAAAGUUAACAGUUUGAUUGUUUUAGGUUUUUGGAGUUUGGAUCAAUAUAUUAACAUACUCUAUACUUUGUAGGUUUCUGCAAUUUCUCUAUAUUUUGACCUUUUUAUUAAUUUUACUUUAAUUUUGAUAUUGUCUAACAAUAGCACCCUUAAUUGCAAUUAAAAUAAAAUAGCAAUAGAAAAGUCUUUCCAUCAUUUUUAUAAAUUAUAAUAUCAUGUGGCACUUAUUAAAAAUUUUAAAAAAUUUCAUUAGUCUUAUCCAAUUAAUGUUGUAGAAUAAAUUUUAAUUUUUGAAAUAAACGUGCUAAUUAAUAAUUUAAUAACCUAAAUUUCUAUUACUUAAAAAAAAACACAAAGCAUAUGACAUAAAAAUUAAUUUAAAUAAAUAUAAUUUUUUUCAAUUAAGUAUUUUAUUUUCAUAUUUCUAUAUUUUAAGGAUGAAAAAAAAAUCCUAAUUGUUAAUUCUUUUGAAUUGAUAAUAUAGUCAAAUUAUAAUUCAUUUGAUAUAAAAUAAAUAAAUAACUUAUUAAUUAUUUUAAUUGCAUAUAUUUCAAAUAUCAUAUUUCUAAAUCUAUAAAUUAUCAUCAACUAUAUGUGAAUAUAAUUAGAUAUUCAAAAGACAUUUAAAUUUUUAUUUUUAUUAUUAACUUUUUAAAAAUUUACUGAUGAAAAUGAUUUUUUAUUUACAAUUUCAUCAUUAAUUGUAAUUGAGUGUGCUAUUACUAUAAAAGAUUGAAAUUGGAAUAAAAUCGACAAAAAAAAAAAAGAUGAAAUAAUACAAAUUCACAAAAUUUGGGGUAUUCUAAUACAUCAUAUCUUGAGUUUUGAUUUACUUUUAUAUGAAAUAAAAAAACAAAAUAAUUAUUAUAUUAUAUGAAUAGAAUAUUUAUUAUUAUAUAAUUUGAAAAUUUGUUUGAAAUAUUAUACUAAAGUUUAUAUUCUCAUAAAAAAAACUCGUAUGGAUAUAUAUAUAUAUAUAACCCUAUAUAUAUUAAAUGAAAGUAUAGUUUAUCUUUCAUAAAAUAGUAAAUAGUAAAUGGAUGGGAAUACUAUGGAGUGUAUAUGACAGGAAAAUUUAUUUACGAAAUUCUGAGUGAGAAAUAAAUAGGAAUUUAAAGCUAGCAUUAUUUGCAAAUACUCCUUUAUACAAUCCAUGUACUACAAUCAAUUAUUAUGUACUCCAUUUUUUGUUUUUAAAUAAAUAUUUUUGGAUAUUAGAAAUACACACACAACUUAAACUUUUAGGUGACAACGGUUAAGAGACAAUUAUAACUCGUGAGUUAUUUAUAACACAUUAUUAUUAUAAGCUAAUUAAAAUUUUUGUUUACAUAAUUUUAAAUAUUUAAAAUAAUGUAAUUCUUUAAAUUGAGACAAUUAGUUCUCACAAGUUUCAAUCUUAGUCAAAUUCCAUUCAACAACAUAUAUUACAAUUUCACUGGCUUUUUAUAAAUUAAUAAUUAACUCCUCAAAUUUUUAAAAAAAUAUGUUAAAAUAUUUUUUUAAUGGCUGUUAGGUUCCAGAUGACAGUAUUUUUCCCAAGUGUACGAAAUCGCUACAAGUAAUAUAUGAUGAUUAGAAUAUCGUUUCCAUGAGGAUUGUAUUACAAGUAAUUAAAAAUACUAAUUAAAGUAAUUAAAAAUACUAAAAAUUCUAAUAAAAAUUAUAUAAAAAUACUAUGAAAAUAACAUAUAUCACCAGACUCCAGAUCCCUUCCCUCGUUUCUUUAACUUGUAAUUUCUGCUCUUUAAUAGGUUUAUAAUGUAAUUCGUAAUGAAGUAUUUGAGAAAAUUGUAAUUGUGUAAUAAUGUAUUAUAGUUUAAUAUUAUAUUUCUUUGGGAUUGAUUUGUGUAGACUAAUCUAUGGAUCUAUUCAUGAAUUAAACAAAUGAAAAAUAUUUUUUAUUCCAUUAAUAUAAUUUAUGGGUGAGCUUAUAGAUCAGAUCUAAGUAAGUCACUGUGAAAUAUAAUAUUUGUAUAUUGCAAUAUCAGAUCAAAAGAUUUAAAUAACUCGGUGAGUAUUUACGAUUAUUUUUGUUUUGAUUUACUACCAACCAGUUUCCCGCAUGAGAAAUAUGAAUUAGACGAUGAAUGGAUUUCACGUUUCACAUUUCACAUAUACAGACAGACAUGCAUGCGUGAGUGUGAAGAAUGUUAGCAAAUUGAAAAGAUAUCUAUGUAUCUAUAUAAACACACACAGAGCAGGAAAUAUAUGCAGAGGACAGUUUCUGUUGCCGAGCCAUAAUUAAUUAUAUAUAUCAUCGAUCAUCAUUAUCAUCGAUCAUCAUUACCAGUUUCACAUGUAUUCUUUGCCCAUUUCAUGUUGGAUUUUGUGGUCUUGUCUUCUCAAAGACAUUCAUUCCGUAUUGAGGGUAUGGGGUACUGUACAAAUGUAUAUUGUCCUUUGCUUAAUUAGCUGUUUGUCUUAAAUUUUUUUAUUCCAUUUAUUUAUUACAGCCUGAAAAAACACUGUGAACUACAUCACUGGAUAGUUUUCUCUUUGCUCACCAAUUGAAUGAAAAAAUCUUAUGGUGACUGAUCAAUCCACCGCGUAAAGAGAGAGGUCGACCCCUCAUUUUGUCUAAUUUUAAAUAUAUGUAAUUGGUUUAAAUUAAUCCAUAAAGUUCAAUUUAUUUGUCUUUGACCCCUCCUUUUUUAAAUAUUAUAUAUUGAUUCUUGACAAAAGUAUUUAUAGAUUCACUACUGCUUAUGGUUGAAAAAUUUUAAAUUUGAAACUUCUCACUCUCUACAUAUAAGUGAGAAAACUAAUUAAAUUAGGGACUAUAUUUAGUUGGGUGUUAGUCUUUAAUCUUUGAAGUAAGAGAUUAGUAUCUUCAACUAGAAUAUGCAGCCAAAAAAUUUUUCUAAAAAUUAUUCUUUUAGUUAUUUUUAAUUUAUAAUUAAACCGACUAAAUAUUUAUUAGAAAAUUAAAAAUAUGAAAAUUAUUAUUUAAAAAUUAUAUUAAUCACACAUUAGAUUAACAUUUUACAUAUAAAAAUUAAAACAAUAAAAUAUCUAUUACUACUAGUGGUAAAAUAUGUAAAAUAUUAUUAAACUUUAUAAUUUUGACAGCAUAAUAAUUUUUUCGCAUCGAACUUGAAAAGGCAUAUGCCCAUGUAACAAUACCUCUGAGAUAGGCCCAUGGAUAUGGAAGACAUAGAACUGUAGAAGAAUGACAAAUUCGACCGUUGAAAGAGACAAGAAAUGUAGAAAUCCUGAAACCAACGUGCACUAAUGCUAAAGCCGCCCAUUAAUCCCUGUGCUCUUUUUUCUAUUAGCCCUGUCAAAGUAAGGAACCAUGGCAUAUAUGUACACGUCUCACCUUCACAUUGAAAAAUAAAAAAAAAUUAUAUACUCCUUUGGUUGCAUUCUCAUUUUGUUUGCAUUCUCGUUUUUUUGCGUGGUUUCACAGAACAUAUGUAUUAAAAAUUUAAUCAAUAAAUAUUAUUUUAUUAUUUUUUUUACAAUUAAUUUAUUAAAAUAUUAAUAAAAUUCUUCAUUUAAUGAAUAAUUUAUAAUUGUCAUUUUAGGACAUCUAAAAAAGAAUAACAAGCAAACAAAACAGGACAAAAAAAAAAAUAUAACUAUGAAUGCACGAAGGAGCGCAGAAAUUUGUUAAAAGAAAAGGGAGCCUAGAAAAUGAAAUGCUGCUAACACGUGUGCAACAACAUCUUCAGCUUAGCUCCUUAUUAGAUCAUUUUCAAUGCAACUAUGGAUUUGUUGGGAAAAUCGCUAUUUUUCACGCCCUUCGGAUCGGCUUCAAGCAGGAAUAAAUGAGAAAAUAAAAUAAUAACUGAGAAAUUAAAGAGAACACGAUAAUUUAACGCGGAAAACUCCCCAAGUGGAGAAAAACCACGACCGUUGUCAAACGACAAUCAAGAAAAAUAUUCACUAUGCGGCAAAUUGUUACAACCAUAAUUACAAAAUAUUUUUCUACUUGACACCCUCAAAACACCCCAAAUAUUUUAUACUCCAAGGGAUUCCAAAAGACUCCCUAAUAUAAAACACGUUCAAGUGUGUUUUGGUGUGUUUAGAAACCUAAACCUUAUUUCCUUUUAUAGCCAAUCUACUAUCCUCCAUAAGCUCUUCUCCCCGAUGUGGGAUUGAGCUAAACAAAUUUUUUAUAUAUUUUUUUUUUUUGUUUUCAACAAUGGCGGCUAACAGGAUUGCUUUUAUUUAUUUGUCACAUGAAAAAUUGAAAGUUAAAAACAAAAACCUUAUCCAAAGCUAUUGUUUGUUUAGUUUGUGAGUAUGAUGUGUAAAAAACAAAGAGACAUUGUCCUCACGCUCUCUAUUUCUAGAGGGUUUAUUAGACAGCGUGACUUAGCUUUUUGUUUUUUUCCUAUUUAUUCAUUUUUUUCUUAUUUUUUCAUUGUCCACUAUGCCUUCACUUUUAUUUGCGAUUAAACUUCUUCUUGCGCUGAAACUAAUUUCUUCUUCAUGUAUUGAGGAGCUAUUUUUAAAUCUAAAAUCUAUAAAUAUACAUUUAGCCACAUCAUCAUCUCCAACUUCUAUUUAUUAAGGCACAUUAGGUACAAUCCAUGAUUGCAUUAAAGAUGUUCUUACAAUUAUAAUAUACUUUCUACCUCCACAAAUAUAAAUCAUUUUAGGAGAUUUUUUUUAUUUGCAAAUAUAAGUAGUUUUGAAAAUAUCAAGACGAAAUUAAUGGUAUUUUUCAAAUUUACUUGUUUAUAUUAAAUGCAAUAAUUAUCUCUAUAAUUUUUUAAAGAGUAAUUUGAAUAAAUUGAUGAACAUUUCUUAUAAUUUAAGAAAAUUACUUGCUUCCUUAAUCACCAUGCAACAACUUUAAAUGAUUUACAUUUAUAGAUAGAUGAGGCAUUUUUUAUCUUUUAACAAUCAUCAAAUUUAGAAAUUAAACAUAUCUUAUAGUUGAAAAUCAAAUUAGCUUUGUGUAUUUGGUAAGUUAAGUUUGGUGUAUAAAUAGGAUUUUUGUAUUAUUUGUAAUCUUAUCGUUUCUUCCUUCUUGUUUGACUGCUUCAUUUAAUUAAGAGUUAUACUUAAUAAGUACUUUUAAUGAAUUGCAAUGUUUCUUUCCUGUCAAUAGCACUACAUGUGUUUAUUCUAUGCAAUACAAAUAUCGAAGGAAAUUGCUUAAAUAUUAAUAGUUGUAUAUAUAUUUGGCAAAAUUAACUGUUUUGGUAGCUAUUAGCUGUUUAAGUACCGUUUAGCGUUUAGCUGUUUGAGUAAUUUUUUAUAAAACUAUAAAAGCUAAAUUUUAUAUGAGUUAACUUUUUAUAAAACACUAUAUUAAUAUCUAAAAGUCAAUUUAAACGCUAUACUAUCAAAUACUAUAAAAAAUAUGAAAGUUUAAAACUAUUUAAAAAGCCAGCCAGUUAGAAUGAGAUUAGGCGUAGGAUUAGAAAUUGUAUAAUUCACUUUCUUUCUAGAUCGUUCCAUGCACCCCUACUACAUCCACAUGCAAAGGCCCUUCGAGUUGAGGGAAAUAUUAGGUGGCUAAUGCAUCCACGUGGUAUAAGUAAUUGGUAGGUGGGUGAUGUGAUAAUGAUAUGGUUAUCAGAAUAAGCAUUAACUAACAGAAAAAUAUAAUUUUUCCCAUCCGACUCUAUCACUUCAUUUAUAUUCUAAAUAAAUGAAAUUAAAUAUUUUUAUUGAAACCACUAUAUACAUACACACGUUACAUAGGCAUGCAAACUGUUGGCACUGUAAAAAAAAAAAAAUAAAUAAAUGAGGAUUAAAAAUUUUAGCAUAUCAAAUAUUAAAGUCUACAAAUUAUAGAAAUGAUUGUUUUACUUGAAUUCUUAAUUAAAGUAUUGAACGGAUUUGGCUCUAUGAAAAAACAUUUCAUUGACUGUUGAGAAUAAAUAAACAUUGCAGCAAAUAAAAAAUUGUAGGAAGGAUAUAAAAAAAAAUAGAAAUUGCUUGAAUUGAAAUUGAUGUAAUAAAAAGCAUUACAAAUAUGAAAGAGAAAAUGACAGUAAUUGGACAAGGAAAAUAUAAUGAACUAAAAAGAAUUUGGAACCGAGUUACUUAUUGUUUAGUUGAAUUUGUGGUGCAUUUUUUUUUUUUAAUUUUGGAAUAAAUUCAAACACAAAAUUUUGAUGUAAUACCUGAAAAAAUAAGGAAAUGAUUUAUCUACACUCAGUGUAUAAAUCUACAUGUAGACCAAACUAAGUAUAAACAAUGUGAACUAUUUUAUUCAAUAAUUUUACUUUAUUUUUUUUUUAGAUUUUUAAGAUUAUUACCUUUCUUUUAUUUCCUUCUCACUCUCUUUUUCUUAUAUAAGAAAUUUUUAAGACUUUAUUUCAGAGAGAAAAGAUAAGAUAAUGAAAAAUUAAAAAAAAAAGAAAUAUGAAAAAAAUAAAUUUUUAAUUAUUUUAAUAUUUCAGCAAAAUAAUUCAGUCAAAUGCAUUUAAUUUCUAUUUUUUUAAUAGUUCAGAAAUUCAAUUAUAAAUUUUUUCGUCGAAACACUAUAGAUAUAAUUAUUCCUAUUUAUACACACAUACUAAUUAUUAAAAACCUAAAAUCUGUGUUAAUGAGUCUUAAAAUUGAGUAGGUUAUAUAUAAAUAAUGAUGCCUUGGGACUCAAGUCAUCAUUAUUUAUUUAGUAUUCACUGUAAAUAGUAAUUGAUGAAAAAAAAAAAGAAUUAUCACUAUUCUUUAUUUAUUUUAGAAAAACAGUCAUCAUUCGUCACUAGAAAAAACAAAUUAAAACAUUAAACUGUAUGAAACUUUUUUUUAUUGUAUUUUUGGAGCAACAUGCUGUUAGAGUCCAUGUAAUUAUCUUAUCGUAUCUUGUCAAUUUCACUUUUUCAGAUUUUUUUUUUUUUUUUUUUUCAGAAAAGUCACAUUUUAAGAUCGAGAACUAAAAGCAUGAAAAAAUGGUGUUUCGCAUUUCAAGCAAAAAGAUACUAUUUUCUUAUGUUAACUCAUAAAUAUAUUAUACAUUCUUGAUAUUGGAACACAUGCCAUCGAAUAGGUAAUAUUUUAAUUAAUUCCCCAUUUCUUAAUCACUUUCACGUACACAAUAAAAAAAAUAUUUGAUAAAAAGAAAAGUAGCAUCUGCAAUUAAUCAAUUAAUAUAUGUAUGACAAUUGUGGCAUGAAACGAUGACAAUUUGAAAUUUAACUCAACUCUCGUGAAGCGUGGGUCCCAUCACUUUUUAUUGUUUAUUCAUUUUUCUAUUUUAGAUUUUAAGUUGGGUUACAAUUAUAAUAUAAGUUUAUAGUGUUUCAGGGAUUAAUUUGAUUUUAGGAUAAAAUCGUUACAACGUGUAAAUAAAUUUAUUGAUUUUAAAUGAAUUACUUCUACAUAGUCAUAUAUUAGUAUAAAUCAGGAAAUUUAUUUUUCAAUCAAGAAAUUUGACUUCUAUAUAAAUAAAUUUAAAAAUUCACAGAAAUAUAUUGUAUGUGCGUCUAAUGCACAUAAAUUUGACUCUAAAUUUUUGUCGAUUAUCUUUGUGGUCUCUUGAAUUUUGUGACGGUCCAAUUAUAACCUUACACUUUCACAUAUAACUAAUAACUAUGUCUCUCAUCGAAAUGAAAUAUCUUUACUAAAAUUCCAUAUCAAUGACUCUAUAUUUUCACAUUUCAUUUUGGUCAGGAGUAAAGUUAUUAUUGAAACCUGCAAAUGCAGGGUCAUGAAAGGUUCCCUGCAAAAUUCAAGAGGCCACAAAAUAAUCGCAGAAAAUUAUAAAGUCAAAUUUAUGCAUUAGGUCAUUAUUUAUGAGAGUUGAAACUAUUAGUUUGCUAAAUUUAUGUAAAAAAGAAAUCCAUCACUUACCAAUUAGAGAAUUUGUCAAAUAAAAGAGGAAAAAAGAAAGAAAGGUUGAUGUUCAAUUCAUAUAUAUAUUAUAUCGGGAUGAUGUCCAGCCCUUACGUAAGUUCAUUCAUAUUGCAUAUAUAUAAUCAUCACAUGGAUGUCAUUUUAAAAAUUGAUUUAAUCUAAUCAUCUAACCUAUAAAAACCCUUGACUUUGAAUUUUUGAAUCCAAAACCUAGCUAUGAUUACUUGAAUUAAACAUGUAAUACAAAUUCUACUAAUUUCCACCUCAAAGGUAACUCACAAUUUCUUGGGAAUAGAAGUUAAAUUCUUUAGCUUUUAUUUUUUUGUCCUUUUUAUUUUUAUUUUCAUUACUAUUUAAUUACAUUUUUUAUUUCAUAUGUGUUAAUUUUUGACUUCAUAUGUGUUAUUUAAUGAGCAGCGCUCUAAUAUCUUCUAAGAGAUUUUUCCCUAUCCAUUGUUUGAAGAUUUAUAAGUGUAACUACCGUUUUCAAGUUUUGGAAUGAAUGAAAUUGAAAUAGAAUUGAUUUACCUCCUCAAAUAAUUAAAAAAGAAAAUAUAAGAUUAUUGAUGUUCCGUUUAUUUCCAUAAAAUAACUUGAUGGAAAAUAUUUUUCUCCUUGAAAAAUAUUUUCCUAAUGACUUAUUUUCCAUUGUUUGAUUACAAUAUUGAAAAUUAAUUAAAAAUAUUAAAGUCUUUAUCUCAUAAGACCAUAAAAAAUAUUAAUAAUAGUAGAAAUUUUAUAAUUAAAAAAUUUUAUUAUUAAAUAUGAGAAGAAUGUAAAAAAAAAAAAAUCAAAUUAUGAAAGUUGUCGAUAGACAGUGGUGGUGGUAGCCGGAGGUGAUAGUCAGUGGUAAAAAGUUGACCGGUGAUAGUGACUACGAUGAUUAAUAAAUUAAAAUUAAAAUAUGGAUUUAUAAGGUUUGUCAAUAUUCGAAAAAUAUUUUACUUUCUCGAAAAUAAAAAGUUAUUUUCCUUAAAAAAUGACUUAAUUUUCUUUUGACUAAGAAAAUAUUUUCCGUUGAUUUAUUUUUCUGAGAGCCCAAACAAUAGAAAAUUGUGGAAAAUAUUUUACUGCAAGUUAUUUUAUGGAAAUCUGAAUUAAAAACCACUUCCAUACAUUGGCAACAUUGCCAUUGUCAUUGUACUGAUCUUUGGUUGGCGUCAUUUCUUGAGAAUCAUCACUACUAGGGAGAUUGAUGAAAAAACAUAUGAUCUUAUUCUCUGCAUCUGAGACAUUAUCAGAAAUCAAAUUCUUAUAAAAGGAGUCUCAAGGGGUUUCACUGUCUUCAUCACGAUUAAAAAUGUGGACCAAAGUGAUCUCUUAGUCCACUAAGCUCGCACGCCAUGAAUGCCUCUUCCUUGAAGCGAUGGUUUCCCCGUCAGGUUUUGUGUUACAGAUAUAUUCUCCAAUUGGAGGAAUUGAGGUCGUGAUUUGAAAAGGACUGAGAGCAUUUCAGAGUAAAUUAGGGUUCUAAAGCAUCUUUGCUUGUCUCGGAUGAGGAAGAAAGCUAAAAUGGGAUCAAAGAAAAGAUGAUAAAAAAUCAUUUAGGUCAUUUUAUGUUAAAUUGAUGGCAUUGUUAUUAAACCCGAUCCGAACAUUGACCCAACAAAAAGAAUCGAAUGGAUGAGUUAUUGAUUUAAUCAAUGAGUUAAUGAUUCAAUUAGCAAGUCAUAUAAAAUAUUAAUAAUAUAUAUUAUUUCAGUAAUUAUAAUUUAAAAUAAUUAUAAUAUAAUAAAAUGUAACUUAAAAUAUCAAAAAAAUUUGAUUCGUGUAUGUGCUGGUCAACCAGUUCAACAUUGACAACCGGUUCAAUCCGAUUUUCUUUCCUAAAUAGUUUAAAAACAAAAUCGGCUUAGUUUUUAACCCGUUUCACCAGUUUUCAAGAUUCACCCGUUGAGUCGAAACAUGUCACUAUACUUGGGGAUAAAAGUAUUGAAAAAUAGUUGGAAGGGUGUUGGUAGAUUAAUAGAAGCAAAAUAGAGGGAAAAAUUAGUAUAUUUUAAAGGCUUAAUGACUAAAAAAAGAAUUUGAAUUUUGGCAUUUUAACAAUUUUGGCCAAUUCUUUUAAUUGCUGCAAUUAAUACUGCGAAAUAAUUUUUUCUUAACAAUUGUAGCCUCCGUCCAUCAACCUUUACUGUUGUGCCGAUGUGGCCGUUAGUGGGACCCUCGCCAUGACAUGUUACCUGCUGACAGUAAAUUUGCAAGAUAUAAUUAUUAAAAAAAUUGGCCAAAAUUGUUAAAAAAACCAAAGUUCAGAGUUUUUUUAAGCCAAAGUUCAUUAGUUUACCAAUUUUAGCCAACAUUAUUACAUGCACAUCAAGACAUAAUCUAGCGGUAAGAGUAUAUACAACUUGGCAAUAGAUCCAAUUUUUUUUAUUAAAAUCAAUUUCUAAUAUUUAUGUAAUUUAUUUAUCAAUAAAUAAUUUUAUAACUUGUAAUAUUCAAAUUUAAUUUGAUAAAGAUAGUUAAAUAUUUUAUAAAUUUUGAUUAUAAUAUUUUUUAUUUUAAAUGAUAUGUUAUAAUAAUUAAUGACAAACAAUUAAUAUUAUGCUAAAAAAAUUAUUUCAUUUUGAUAAGAAUUAAUUGAAAAUAAUAAUUAUAUGACAACAAAAUAAAUGAAGAAAAAAAAAUUGAAAAGGAAAUUAUAAUUUGAAAAUUCGAAAGGUGCUAAAGAGGUGCUAAACUUUAUAAUUAAAAUAUAAUAAAUUUCAAUAAUGAAGAUUGAAAAAAUUUAUAUUCAUGUAUAAAUUUCUCAAGAACGGUUAGUGUAAAAGUAUUUGAUGUUAUCCUUCUAAAGAAAAGAACAAGUUUAAAUAAGACGAUAAUGUUCUUGAAGAGUUCCUACGAAUAAUACUAUCAUUUUUGGAAUUAAAGCAGAUUUACAACAUUUGGUUUUUCCUCUCUUACUAUGUUGAUAAUUUUAUUGAAUCUUUAGAUUUUCUUUAAUAUUUAAUUAUUAUAAUAUGAGUGCCGACAAUUUGAAAUGACUAAAAACACUCUCAAUUUUUUUCCUGAAAUUGACCUAAAAAACUUGAAUUUCAGCAUUUUUAACAAAUAUGGCCAAUUCUUUUAACUAUUAUACUUUGCAAAUUUACAGUUAGCAAGUAAUGUGUCAUGGUGAGAUUCCAUUAACGGCUAUAGUAGUAUAGUAAUAAUAGUUAAUGAAUGGAGGCCACAAUUGUUAAGAAAAAAUUAUUUCGCGGUAUCAAUUGUACCAAUUAAAAAAAUUGGCUAAAAUUAUUAAAAAUAAAAAAGUUCAGAUUUUUUUUAAUCAUUAGGCCUAUUUUAAAAAUACGAAUGUAUGCUUAUUAUUUUUAGCAAAUAGCAAAAUAUAUUAAUAACAUAUAAUCUUCCCAUAUAAAAAUAUCCAUACCAAAAAGCAGAACCGUGACUAAUAAAUAUUCUUUCCAUUCCAUUUUGGUAGAAAUAAAUGACCAUUUUUACUUUGUUCUACUUUAAAUAUUUAUUUAGGAUUUUGAUGGUAUAUUAAUAUUUUUUUUCAAUUUUACCCAUAUUUAUUGGGUGUAUUUUAUAUUUUAUAUUUAUAUUUAUAUUUCUCGUUUUAGUCAAAUUAAAAUUUUUGCGACACACAUAACUAAAAAGUUUUUCAUUAUUUUAAGGGAUGAAGAAAAGGAAUGGAAGUACUAUAAUGGUGAUAUUUUAAUAUGAAAUAAAAUUAGUAUUCCUUUUGUAAUAAUGUUAAAUGGAGAGUUUUUAAUUUUAAGAAAAGUAAUUUAGACAUAAUAUUAUGUAAUUUUAUAAAAUCAAUAUAUUUCAAUUAUUUUCUUAAUUUUUAUUAAAAGCUAAAAUGUUACAAUUAAAAUAAGACGGAAAAAAUAUAAAUUACGAAGAUAAUAUGCUUACGUUUCAUAUCUUUAUAUGAAGCUGGAAUACUAACCUUUAUUUUACAUCCAUUUUAGUUCAUUAAAUGAUUGUAGACGUAAUUUGCAGUUCAUUAAAUGUCUAAAUGUCUAAAUCAUUAAAUUGAAGUAAUAAUUAUUAGUUAUAGACAAAGGAUAAAUAUGAAAAAAAUAUAUUUAUUACUUAUUGAAAUUACAAAUGUGACAAAUAUUCUGGACCGAAAGUAGUAGCUUUUAGCGUUUUGACUGAUCAAAACACUAAAUUUUGUGGUCUCUAAUAACAUAACAUUUGAAUUAGUUUUUGUAGAUUAAUAUAGAAUUUUAUAAAAAGUUAAUUCAUAUAACAUUUAACUUUUAACGUUUUAUAAAGAGCUGUUCAAAGAGUUAAUAGCUAUCAAACUAGCUAAUUUUGCCGAAUAGAUCUUUAGACGAAUGUGAAACGAAAGUUUUUUGCGCACUUCUAAAUUUUUUUAGUGCUUGAAUUUAAUAAUUAAUAUCGAAUGUUUAUUUUAUAUUAUAUAAAAUUUGGCACUCAAAUUUAGAAUUUAGUUUUUAAAAUUUAAUAUAUGAAAAGAAGUAGAAAAAGAAAUACUACUGAUAAUAAUGAUAAUAAUAACAAUUUUUUUGUUUGUAUAUUUUGUUCUCUUGGAUGUUGACAAUGACUCUAUAAUGGAAUGGUGAGAUGAGGCCGUACUUGAUGGCGGCGAACUGGUUAUGAAUAAGCCACGUGGUGGUGAAAGAAACAAUAAACACUAAAAUGAUGUUGAGCUUGGGCGCCACCUUACGGUUUUCGGAACCGACGGAUGAGAAUUAGAAUCGGUUCGAAUCAAAAUUAGAACCAGUGACCUACGGUUCAGUUUUAAUUCUAUUAUUUUUUAAAUUAUAAAUCGGUGAUUAUAAGAACAGGUCGAAACCGACGGUUUUUCAGUCGGUUAGAACUGAUUGUUGGAAACAGCAAUUCCAGCAGCUUUUUUUUUUAAAUAGUUUUGUGAAAUCUCCAAAUUACGUCUCCUAACAACUAUAAACGGCUACAUAAGGGCUAGUUUUAAGGCUAUUGUGGAAAAAUAAUUUUUUAGAUUUAUUAUAAAUAUCCUUUUCCAUUUAUAAUCCCUCAAACAAAAUUAUCUCGACUCUCUCUACUCUAUAUUAUUCUCUACUCUAUAAUCUCUCCAAUUUUCAUUUAUAAAUUAUUGUCCAAAAUAUUGCAAAAUAAUUUCUUCAAAGUCGAAUCUUCAAUUAUUUGUCCAAAUUAUUGUCAAUUAAUUUCUUCAAAUUAUCCAACUUUUUAAAUAAAAAAUAAAUUAAGUGAACACUUUUUUUAAAAAAAAAAAUAACUUUAGUUCAGGCCUUUUUUAAAAAAAAUAAAUUAAGUUCAAGCAUUUUUUAAUUUUUUAAGGGUAUUUUUUUUAGAAAUUAUUUCACAGAUUUUUAAAAUUUAAAUUUUGAAAAAAAUGUUCUCUAAUUUUUUAUUUUACAAUUAUGCGAUUCCCCGGAAAACCGGUCAGAACCGCCUAUUUUAGAACCAUUAAGGAACCGGACCAAAAUUGUAACCGUUCGAUUCCAAAUCGUAACUAGAACCAUCAAUUUCCAAUUCGAUUCCUAAAUCGAAACCGAAGAUUCCGGAACCGUGGCCAUCCCUAGUUGAUCAAUAUUUUUUUAAAAUAGUUUUUAGUGUUUUAAUCAAGUUAAAAUUUUAUUUUUAUUAAUUAUAUUAUUCGGUGAUAUAGUAUUCGUACUAGUUUUAGAGGUUGAAGCAACUUUUUAUCAAAUGUUAGAUACUCUUAACAUUUAACAUCUUAUAGAGAUUAUUUAAAUUUUUUUUUACAAUAAUAUUUAUUAUUUUUUUCUUUGAACACAGCUAAUUAAACAACUAUUUUUUACUUUUAAUUUAAAACACUAUAUAAAUAAUCUAUGUGAACAGCUACAACAACAUGUUCUCUCUUUUCAUGAGAGUUAGGGUUGCUUCUGCAUGGCGGCUAGGGUAUCGUUUGCGCAACGAUGAUGUUCUCUUUCUAUACUGGUAUAAUGUUCUUGUGUCUUUGUUUUAAUCCCUUUAUCUUUGCUUUGUUUGUUUUUCUGCUUCUCAUUUUUUUCCUUUGGACUCCUGUUUUUGUUUGUUUAAUUCUUUUUAGGGUUUUCUUAGUUUUGUCUUUCUGUCCUGUUUGUCUACCCUUUUUAUCUGUUUAUUUUUUCAUUCGCUAAUUUGUUUCCCCCUUUCCUAUACAUCAUGGUUCUGUAGUGCUAGCUACUGAGAUGGAGAACCAAAAUACUGUCCCAUUACCGAAGCAUAAGGAAAUGAGAGUGUACACAUCAAUGGAGGCAGAAGAAUUAGAAGCGAAUGUGGUUGAGAAUUGUAUGAAUGAGGGGAUGGCUAAAAUUCUUAGCACGAAGAUAAGCCCUUUUAUGGGAUGGGAUUCCGAUAGUAACAUGGCUUGAGGCAAAUUUAUCAGAUUUCGUGCAUUACUUGACUUGGAAAAACCCCUUGCUAGAGGCUCGAUGGGUAAGCUGCCUUUUUGGAAAUCUAUCUGGAUCCCUUUUCAGUAUGAGGUAUUGCCCAAUUUCUGCUUUUUAGAUGGCAGGUGUGGUCAUACGUAUAGAAGUUGUGAUGAUUAUGAUUUUGGGGAACCUUACAAUUGGAGAAUAUGUUAAAUGGGGAUUCGUUGAAAGCCUCGCCUUUAAGGAAACGGAGAAAGAUUAGUGCUUCGGAUCGUACUAAGGGUAGGGGGGAACCUGUGGUUAGGAAAAUGAGUUCCCAGGAUAAUACAAGUGUGGCACUAGUAAUCAAGAAGAUAAUGGAAGCGAGGAACUUGUGAAUUGUUAGGAAGGGAGAGAAGAAGUCUAUUCAACACACCUCUAUGUCCCAAGCUACUAACAUCCUUAAUUGGUUACAAGAUUUGGUGGUUAAUGGUACAAAAAAGAAUAUGGCUCCAUCAAGCCAUGAACAAAGCCGUAUAAGCCAUGAUGUUCCAAGUCCGGCUCCUGCUGACCCAUAUGCUACUACUUCAGCUCCUGUUCUUACUGUCCCAAACCCAGUCGUGACUGACCCUUUACCCUCCUUUUCUUGCUUCACAGACCUUAUACAUAGUCACCAAACUUUAUUGUCUAGUUCACCUUCUCCCAUCCUUGAGCCUGAACCUGACCCACGUUUGCACCCAGUGAAUAAACAACAAAAUUCAAAUUCUCUUUCCUCUUAGAAAAGAAAGGCACGUAAGGGAAAGGGAAGCACUGUUGAAUCUUGGACAAUGCCCUUAUUUCAUUUCUUAAAGAAUAAAUAUAAAGGCCGAGGGUACUUUGAAAUUAGAUAUGAGUAAAACAUAUGACCAAGUGAAAUGACAUUUUUUAAGAAAUGUUUUGCUUAGAUUUGGUUUGGAUGUGAAACGGACGGACUUGAUCAUGAAUUGUGUUUCUACUGUUUCAUAUUCUUUGCUUAUUAAGGGGGAACCAACGAAAAAAUCUGGAAAGAUCGCUGACUUACGGACCCGAAUCAUUCCUGAAUUAUAUCUCCUCCUAUGAUUUUAGAUGAGAAUGCGACUGUGAACCGGCUUAUUCUCCAAGACCCAAAGCAUUGGAAUGUGGAUUUAAUCUCAUCUAUUUUUGAUCCGUUGGAAGCUAGGAGCAUUAUGUCUAUCCCUCUCACCAUGCGACGUACUAAGGACGUUUUGGCCUGGCCUCUUUCAAAGUAGGGUUUAUAUACAGUACGCAGUAGGUAUCAUAUGCUGCCUGAGGCAAAAUUGUCUGGUUUGUACAGCUUCUCUUCUAAUCUGGUGCGUUCAACUCAGUGGAAGCAGAAUAUUCCCCCUAAGGUCAAGCAUUUUUGCUAAGAGCUUGUAUAAAUCACAUUCCUGUUGCUGAUGCACUUGUACACAAAGGUAUGCAUAUUGAUCCAGUUUGCUCCGUCUAUGGGUUGGCCAUGGAGAACACCAUGCAUAUUUUAAAAGUCUACAUCAUAGCCCAACAUUCUUGGAAAUUUUCUCCUUUAAGGCUCAUAACGUUUGAUUAUCGAGUCUCGAGUUUCCAGGAAUGAUUUGAGAUUAUUAUCAGUAAGUUUCAGCAGGAGCAUAUUGAGCUUUUUUCGAUGACUGCAUGGCAAUAUGGCAUUCUCGCAACUUGGUCAAGUUUCAGCAAAAGCGAUUGACAUUUGAGGAGAUUACCCAGAUGGCUAUUGUCUGCUCAACAGAUUUUCAGCAGGCGAACGAGAUGGAGGUAGAUUCCCAAGAUGUUACUACAGAACAGAAAUGACAGCCUCCUUCGCAUGGUUGGUUUAAGCUGAAUGCCGAUGCAUCGAUUAAGGAGGUGGUGGGCUGUGGGUACGGUUUCAUUAUCCGUGACGAGGAGGGGAAUGUAAAUAUUAUGGGAUUUGGCACUCAAUGUUCUUAUGUAGUCAUUCCUCCUGAGGAAGCAGAAGCUGAUGCUGCUAGCUUUGGUCUUUUUAUGGCGAUGGAGUUGGGCUUUGCUUCAAUAAUUCUGGAAACGAACUCUCUUAUGCUAGCUCACCACAUGAAUGCUCAACAGUUUCCUCUCUCUGACUUUGGUACUAGCGUCUUAAACACAGAUAUGUUAGCUGCGAAUUUUGGCAAUUCAAAUAUGUUCAUGUUAGUACUAGGGUCUUUAGAGGACGUUAUUUGGGUGGAGGAGGCCUCACCUCUAUUGAGAAUUUUGUUUUUGUUGACAAUCCUUUUCUGAAUUUGUAAUAUUCCAACUUGAUUUUCUCCAAAAAAAUAAAAAUAAAAAAAUAGUGAACAACUACUACAUAAAAUAGUUAGUAUUCCUAAACAUACCCUAAAUAAAUAAAAUAAUUUUAUUUACUUCUUUUUAUAUAAGAUAAACCUUACAUUACAUUUUUUUUUUCAAUCAAAUGAAAUAGUUAAAAUUUUAGAUUUGUUAUAAAUAAUGAAAUAAUGAUAUUACAAGAAAUUCGCUUUUUUCUAACUAAAUUUUAAAACUCAGCGUCACAAGGUUAGUCCAUCUAAUUAAAUUGACUGAAUUUCUUAACUAAUUUGUUAGUAGAUAUAUUUUCCAAUCAAUGCUAACACUAUAUAUGUGUGUGAGAGUUCAUACUAUCAGCAUCAACUAAAUUUGAACAGCAAUCAUAUGGAAGUAACAAUUGUUAUGUAAAAUAAAGUAGAAAACAUGAAUUGAUACAAAAUUAACCGAAAUUAUAAAUAAAAAAAAAAAUUCUUUUUCAUCUAGCCUUUUACCAUAUAUAAUUAUCUCUAUUCUUUUAGAUAAUCAAAUAAUAAUAUGCAUUCUUUAAUUUAGCCUUUUAUAUUUUUCCCCAUGUAACCAAAAAAAAAAAAAAAAAAACAAAUUUUAACUAAAUAUACGGCUAAAUAAGCAAAUAAAAUUAUCUUUUAAUAACUAAACAAACUGUCAUUUAUUUGGUGAACUUUGUUAUUCUUGAUGAAAUCAUUUCUCUGAGUGACCGUUACCUGUUUUUUAAUUAACCAAUGAGAUUUUGAUGCAAAGUUGGUGGCACUCACAUUAUUUUUUGACAAUUCACUGCCUCUUCAUCUGUAAAAAUUGAGGCAUUUUCCAAUUAAGUGAGAAACAUGUGUUUAUUAGACACCGGUACACAUGGCAUAAGAGAUCAUAAUUAAAAAAAAAAAAAUGAAUAUAACCAUAGAGCAUAAUUUUUACCCUUCCACCGACGCCGCUGCUUCUCCCAUGUCGAACUUGUAUCCUUGCUUUUACAGUGUGGCUGCUAACUAGUCAACUAAAAUCUUAUAUUAGUAAAAUGAAUAUAUCUUUGAGCAUUUAUAACUUGAAAAAAAUAUAUAUAGAGAGAGAAUAAUUUAUCUAAAAAAAUUAUUUAUUUACAAUACUUGGAGCAUGGAGCAUGACCAAACAAUAAGACUUCAGAUUUUUUUUUUUCUUUUUGAAAUGUAUAAGACUUCAGAUUUUGGUUCAGAUGUUGGAUUCUUUCAUUCCAGAUAUUAUAAAGGAUUCUUUUUUAACUGAUUUAUCAUUCAUCACUCCUCAUAUAACUGAUAUUUAUGUCUGUUAAAAUGUUAUUAGUAAAUAUUAAAAAAAAGACAUGCUAAAAACGUUUUUUUUUUUAACUAAUGAACGUCGUUUUCAGAUAUUUUAUUAUUAACUUUAAUAAACAAUUGUAUAACCUAUCAAACAAUUAAUUAGAUAUAUUUCUUCUCAGGAUUUAUUAAAUCGUGUAGAACGUUGCGUUUGCUGGGUUCCACCUAUGGCUGCUUUUCUCAAGUUGAAUAAGUAAUAAUCAAGUUAUCUAUGAAUUAUGGUUCAAUUGAUAACAAAGACUAAACUUGCGGAAAGAGUUUUUAGGUUCAAUUUCGUUAAAUAUAUUUGUAGGAAGGACCAAAAAGAUUUAAUUGUGACUGAGCCUCGAGCCAGAUUAGACGGUUAUUGAUAAUAGAUUUCAAAUUCAAAAAAAAAAAAAAAAGAAAAUAAUAAUAAUAAUCAUGCUCUGUGGUGGUGGUUUUUUGAGAGAUCAUUUGGGUAAUUUGCGCGUCAAAUACUAUGUGCCAGGACCCAAAGACAUUGUUGGUAUAAGAUUUAUCUAACUCAUCUAUAUAUUAAAUUAAUUCAUGAAGAAUUUUUUUAAAAAAAUAAUACUAUUUCAGUAUUUUGAAUAAUUAAAAAUACUUUCUAUCUUAAUGAAAAAAUUGGUUUUGAUAUCUAUAUACGGAUAUAGAAUAUAUAAUAUAGAAUGUAGAAUAAGUCUUUCUCAAUAUUAUCAUCCACUUAUAAUGUUAGAUUCUAGUACGAUGCAAUUGAAUUUUUUUUAUACAAGAUCCUAUUCUACCCAUGCCCACUGAUAUUUCUUAUACACUUCCAGAUACUCCAAACAAUGUAUCCUUUCAGUUUAUUAAUUUAAUUUUAUUAAUUUUGACACUUCUAAAACAUUUAAAAAUUUUAUAAAACUUUUAUAUAAAUUUAUUAAUAAAAAAUUUUGGAUUGUGGUAUUAAAUAUAAAUUAAAUAAUUAUCUGCAGUUCAAAUAAAAAAAAAAUUAAAGGAUAUGUAAAAGAAGGAGAGAAAAUACGCAAAUCAUUAUUUACAAUUUGUAAGUUUAUUGGAUAUAUAUUUAUUAUUGUCAAAUUUAAGAAUAAUAAUUUGAAAUUCAAGAACUCACAUGAUUUUAAUUAUAAAAAUUUUGGGCUUCUAUCAAGUAAAAGCCUACAAUAUUAUAUUAAGCGAACUAAAAUAUGGGGUGUUCUAUAAUUGGAUUUGAUUCUUUUGAAAAUAUUGAAACUUUUGAGGGCAAUUUAUAUAAAUAACCCCUAGAUGAAGGCCAUAAUUUUUAACAAAGACAUUGAUAUUAAAGAAUUAACUAAUCAUGUUGGAGCCAAGUUACUGUUGUUUAGUUUAUAUUUAUGUGCAAUUGUGAUUGAUUAUUUUUUUAUUUAAAUUUUAACAAAUUAUAUCUUUUUUAUUUAUUAAGAGGCUCAACAAGUUGAAACAACAUUUUAGCUAUAUAAUAAAGGUAAUUUUGAUCACUAAAAUUGAAAAAACUCUUGUGGUCAGAGGACUAGAACCUCAAGCCUUUCACUCUCCACUUCUAAUAUAAGUGAAAAGAUGAAACAAACCAGACAUUAUUACUAAUAAUAAAUUAUAUUUUUUUAAUAUAGUAUGACUUGCUUUUUUUUUUUUUGUUUAAAUUCUAGUAUUUAGUGUUUCGUGUGACUUUAUUCAAAUACCACUUACUAUUUAAGUAUAAAAAAAAUGUGUAAAUAAAAAAAUAAUAAAAUAAUAAAUGGUGAGCUAUUAUUAAAUGGGAGGGCAAAGUAAAUUUUUGAUUUAAAUUGUGUAUGGUAUAAUAACAUUAAAAUUGCUUUUUUUUAUUGUUAAACUUAUCCACAAAAACUUACCAUAAUCAAAGAAGAUCGCACAACGUUAUUCUCAUGUCGAAUAACACUUACUCCUGUUCAUUCCAGUUUUUAAUUAUUACUCGUUAGAUUUACUUAAUGGGCCGCAGAUAUGCGUGUUAGCUUUUAGUUUGAUCAUUUUACAUUAUAAAAUAAAUUAUUUACAAUAAACAUCAAAUCAAGAUUUAACUCACUAAUAAUAAACCCAUAUAAAUACCCAUCGAAAGCUACGUGCAUGUUAUCCAGCAAAAGCAAGUCUCUUCUCUUUCCUCUUUCACACGCUCAUUCGCCGUAGCUCUGGACUUGAAAUCCUUUAGGGAAAAACCAAUAUGGCCACGAACGUCUCCUCCACAGCUUUCCUUACCUCAGCCGCCGCAGCCACCUCCCCCUCCACUAUCAACACCNNNNNNNNNNNNNNNNNNNNNNNNNNNNNNNNNNNNNNNNNNNNNNNNNNNNNNNNNNNNNNNNNNNNNNNNNNNNNNNNNNNNNNNNNNNNNNNNNNNNNNNNNNNNNNNNNNNNNNNNNNNNNNNNNNNNNNNNNNNNNNNNNNNNNNNNNNNNNNNNNNNNNNNNNNNNNNNNNNNNNNNNNNNNNNNNNNNNNNNNNNNNNNNNNNNNNNNNNNNNNNNNNNNNNNNNNNNNNNNNNNNNNNNNNNNNNNNNNNNNNNNNNNNNNNNNNNNNNNNNNNNNNNNNNNNNNNNNNNNNNNNNNNNNNNNNNNNNNNNNNNNNNNNNNNNNNNNNNNNNNNNNNNNNNNNNNNNNNNUUUCACCUGCUAAACAUAAGUGGCUGCACGACAAAAGAACAGAAGAAGCUGAUAAUCUUGUAUUUUAUAUCCAUAACCAGUACAAGGCCAACAAUAAUGUCAAUCUGCGACUUGCUGCAAGGCAUUAUUGUGGAAAUGUGAUAAGAAAAAUGAUGUUCAGUAAAAGAUACUUUGGUGAAGCAACGCCAGAUGGCGCACCGGGACGCGUGGAGAUAGAACAUGUGGACUCAGUUUUUGCUGUUUUGAAAUACUUAUACGCAUUUUGUAUUUCUGAUUUCAUGCCUUUCUUGCUAGGGCUUGAUCUUGAUGGACAGGAAAAAUUUGUUCUUGAAGCUAAUAAGACUUUAAGGGCUUUUCAUAAUCCUAUUAUAGAUGAAAGGAUUGAACUGUGGAGGAGUGGUCAAAGGAAGGAAAUGAAAGAUUUGCUUGAUGUUUUUAUUACUCUUCAGGAUUCUGAUGGAAAGCCAUUGCUGACACCUGACGAGAUCAAGAGUCAAGUCGCUGUAAGACCUUAAAACCUAUAUAUUUACAAGCUUAAAUAUUUUCCUGAUUCAAGAUAUUUUGAUUUUUCCAUUUGUUGCUUUUUUCCUUUUUCAAGAAUUUCAAUAUAAAAUAAGAAUUUCAAUAUAGAACAUAAAUCUUACAAAUUCAAGAAAUAAUAAAUAUGAUAUUUUUAUCUGAAAAAAAAAUAAAUAAAUACAUGUGUAGAUUCUUACAAAAUCCUGUAUUACAAAAAUUUUGCAGGAAGUUAUGAUAGCAACAAUAGAUAACCCUUCAAACGCAGUGGAAUGGGCCAUGGGAGAAAUGCUAAACCAACCAGAAAUUCUCAAGAAAGCAACAGAAGAAAUAGACAGGGUGGUCGGAAAAGACAGACUUGUCCAAGAAUCAGACAUCCCUGAUCUUAACUAUGUCAAGGCAUGUGCAAGAGAAGCUUUUAGGCUCCAUCCUGUAGCCUACUUCAACCCACCUCACGUUGCUGCGCAAGACGCUGAAAUUUGCGGUUAUUUGAUCCCUGAAGGUAGUUGGGUCAUGCUCAGCCGAUAUGGUCUGGGCCGAAACCCAAAGACCUGGCCUAACCCACUCAAGUACGACCCUGAACGCCAUUUGAAUGAAGGAGAAGUGGUUUUGACCGAACAUGGUUUGAGAUUCAUAUCAUUUAGCACGGGAAGGCGCGGUUGCAUCGCGGCUUUACUCGGAACUUGCAUGACUACUAUGUUAUUGGCAAGAAUGCUUCAAUGCUUUACCUGGAGUCUGCCGGAUAAUGUCGAAAAGAUUGAUCUUUCCGAAGGGGUCGACGAGCUUUUUCCGGCCAAUCCCGUGGUGGCUUUUCCAAAGCCACGUUUGGCUCCUCAUCUUUAUCCUACUUCGCCAUGAAUGAAUGAAUGGAAGGAUUUUAAGAUAUGUAAUUAAUUCAGAAUACUUUGAAAUCUGAAAUAAAUAAAUAAUAUCUGACUUGCAUGGUUAUUAUGUUAGGAGGUGAAAUUUAUGAGUAGAAGUUGCAUGUGUUGGUGGCUUUAUUGAGAGUAUCUUUACAACGCUUCUGUAUUUCAUCAAUGGGUUGCAACUGUUUCAUUAAGUAAAUUUGCUAUUAAUUAAAAAAAGCCUUUCUUUCAUUUCUUUUAAUUAAUGUAGGCUUGCAACUUUAUAAUCUUGAACCAGUAUUAGCAUCGAUGGAAAUAGACUCAUAAACAAUCCGCCAGAAUCCCAAUAAAUGUAUAUAGAUCCAAAGGAUUUCAAAAUCAAUUGUAAAAAGAAGAAGGGAGAUAGAAGAAGACCCAUGCAAGCUCAUAGUUGUAAAGUUUCGAUAGUUGAAUGUGAAAGAAUUUGUAUUGUAUUGUUGUACGAUUUACAUUAUACGACACCCUUUAUAUAGGUGUACAAGAUAUGCACAAAAAGAAAAAAAAAUGAUCAUAAUAGGAUACACUAAGAUCAAAAUUAGAUACAUUAAGAUCAAAUUCAUAUAAACUUGGAUCACUUAGAUUUUAUUCUCGUAUUAAUAUGGAAAAUAUCAAUAGAGUAGAUGAGCAGUACAUAUAUAGAAGAGAGAAGGAAGGAGUGCAAGAGAGUUCAGAGUUGCGAUGCUGAUAUGCAGUAGGCAGUAAGUAUCAUAUGCUGCAUCAGGAAAAAUUGUUUGGUUUGUACAGCUUCUCUUUUAAUCUGGUGCGUUCAACUCUAUGGAAGCAGGUGUGGAAGCAGAAUAUUCCCCCUAAGGUCAAGUAUUUUUGCUAAGAGCUUGUAUAAAUCAGAUUCCUGUUGCUGAUGCACUUGUACACAAAGGUAUGCAUAUUGAUCCGGUUUGCUCCGUCUAUGGGUUGGCCAUGGAGAACACCAUGCAUAUUUUAAAAGACUACAUCAUUAGCCCAACAUUUUUGAAAAUUUUCUCCUUUAAGUCGCGCUUCUCUGAUAUCGAGCUUGUAUCCUCGCCUUUACGAUAGAGCUGCUAACUACGUCAACCAAAAUCUUAUUAGUAAAAUAAAUAUAUUUUUGACCAUUCACUUGGGAAUAAAUAUAUAAUGAGAAUAAUUUUUUUUAAAAAAUUUCUAAUUUAUUAAUUUAGUCAUAAAUGCAAACAUAGAUUGAAUCUAAGCAAAUUUUAUAUUCUAAAAAAAUAAUAGCUAAAACCUUAAUAUUUAUUAUUUUUUACGAGACUCCUCUCAGGACGAGAAUUCUACUAUUUAACUCUUUCUUUCAACAAUUCAAUAAUUUGACCCUAAUAAAACUCAAAUGUUUUGAACACCCAACCUGCUAAAUUAGAAGGUAAAUAUUCUUGAGAUAAGAGGCAGUAACACUCCUGAUAAAGGUUUUUUUUUUUUUUAAUGUAUAAGACUUCAGAUUUCGGUUCAGAUGUUGGAUUCUUUUAUUGUGACUGAACCUCAAGCCAAAUUAAACAGUCCUUGAUAAUAAGUUUUCGAAUGAAAUAAUAAUAAUAGCCAGAACUCAAAGACAUUGUCGGUAUAAGAUUUAUCUAACUCAUCUCUAUAUUAAAUUAAUUCAUGAAUAAUUUUUAAAAAAAAUUGUCACUAUUUCAGUAUUUUGAAUAAUUAAAAAUACUUCCUAUCAUAAUGAAAAAAUUGGUUUUGAUAUCAAUAUACGGAUAUAGGAUAUAGAAUAUAGAACAAGUCUUUCUCAAUAUUAUCAUCCACUUAUAAUGUUAGAUUCUAGUACAAUGCAAUUGAAUUUUUUUUUUUUUUCUUAGAGAAAAUUUAUUUAGAUCAGAUCUAUGACCCUAUUUAUAAAUCAAAUCAAUCAAAAUAUAAAUUUUUAAAAAAUUAUUUCCAUUUUACUUUAUUUUCUUCCUAGUGAAUAGUCAAAAAAUACACUCAUUAACAGGCGGGAAAAGCUUUCAGGUUCAAUUCCAUUAAACACAUAUGUAAAAAGGACUAAAGAGACUUAAUUGUGACUGAGUCUCGAGCCAGAUUAGACGGUUCCUGAUAAUAGAUUCCAAAUCCAAAAAAAAAAAAAAAAGAAAAUAAUAAUAAUAAUCGUGCUUUGUGGUGGUGGUUUUUUGAAAGAUCAUUUGGGUAAUUUGCGCGUCAAAUACUAUGUGCCAGUAGGCAUGGCCACCGGUUCGGUUCUAACCGGAACCGAACCGGAACCGAACCGUACUGUAGACGAACCGGAACCGGACCGAAACCGGCGGUUCAUAAUUUUGAACCGGAACCGGCGGUUCAAGGGCUGGUUAAGGUUCAUGUGGAUGUUAAAAUAUGAACCGGAACCGGCCCNNNNNNNNNNNNNNNNNNNNNNNNNNNNNNNNNNNNNNNNNNNNNNNNNNNNNNNNNNNNNNNNNNNNNNNNNNNNNNNNNNNNNNNNNNNNNNNNNNNNNNNNNNNNNNNNNNNNNNNNNNNNNNNNNNNNNNNNNNNNNNNNNNNNNNNNNNNNNNNNNNNNNNNNNNNNNNNNNNNNNNNNNNNNNNNNNNNNNNNNNNNNNNNNNNNNNNNNNNNNNNNNNNNNNNNNNNNNNNNNNNNNNNNNNNNNNNNNNNNNNNNNNNNNNNNNNNNNNNNNNNNNNNNNNNNNNNNNNNNNNNNNNNNNNNNNNNNNNNNNNNNNNNNNNNNNNNNNNNNNNNNNNNNNNNNNNNNNNNNNNNNNNNNNNNNNNNNNNNNNNNNNNNNNNNNNNNNNNNNNNNNNNNNNNNNNNNNNNNNNNNNNNNNNNNNNNNNNNNNNNNNNNNNNNNNNNNNNNNNNNNNNNNNNNNNNNNNNNNNNNNNNNNNNNNNNNNNNNNNNNNNNNNNNNNNNNNNNNNNNNNNNNNNNNNNNNNNNNNNNNNNNNNNNNNNNNNNNNNCAACUCAUUCCAUUAAUUUUAUAUUCCAUUUAUAGUUUUUUAUAUUAGUAAAUUAGCAAAAUUUGAAAAUUUAAUAUAAUAAUAGUUCUAAGUUAGUUAAUAGAUGUUUUUCUUUUAAAAUUUAUAAUAAUUCAUUUAGUUAAUAAAAUUUAAACAUUUUAAAAUUAUUAUUUAUUCAUGAAUACGGAAUCAAAAAUUUUAUUAUUUUUUUAAAAAUUUGCGUAAUGCCGGAACCUAAUCGGAACCCUAAUUUGAACCGUCGGUUCACCGGAACCGUGCUGANNNNNNNNNNNNNNNNNNNNNNNNNNNNNNNNNNNNNNNNNNNNNNNNNNNNNNNNNNNNNNNNNNNNNNNNNNNGGCGACCCAAACCCGGCGGUUCACUGAACCGGCCAUGCCUAUGUGCCAGAGCCCAAAGACAUUGUUGGUAUAAGAUUUAUCUAACUCAUCUAUAUAUUAAAUUAAUUCAUGAAGAAUUUUUUUAAAAAAAUAAUACUAUUUCAGUAUUUUGAAUAAUUAAAAAUACUUUCUAUCUUAAUGAAAAAAUUGGUUUUGAUAUCUACAUACGGAUAUAGGAUAUAGAAUAAGUCUUUCUCAAUAUUAUCAUCCACUUAUAAUGUUAGAUUCUAGUAAGAUGCAACUGAAUUUUUUUUAAAAAAAUAAAAGUUGUUUAGAUCAGGUCUAUGACCCUAUUUAUGAAUCAAAUCAAUUAAAAACUAAUUUUUUAAAAAAUUAUUUCUAUUUCUAUUUUAUUUCUUCCUUGUGAAUAGUCAAAAAAUGCACUCAUUAACUACAUGCUCGGGAGAAUUUUAUUACCUACUGAUGAUUUUAGUGAAAGUUAAUUACAUCUUCAGGAGAGUUAAUUUUAUUAGCAAGAUCAACCGUUCAAAAUUUGGAGCCGCUACGAUUGAUAGAGCUUGCUUGCAGAUCCUAUUCUACCCAUGCCCACUGAUAUUUCUUAUACACUUCCAGAGACUCCAAACAAUGUAUCCUUUCAGUUUAUUAAUUUAAUUUGAUUAAUGUUGACACUUCUAAAACAUUUAAAAAGUUUAUAAAACUUUUAUAUAAAUUUAUUAAUAAAAAAUUUUGGAUUGUGGUAUUAAAUAUAAAUUAAAUAAUUAUCUGCAGUUCAAAUAAAAAAAAAAUUAAAGGAUAUGUAAAAGAAGGAGAGAAAAUACGCAAAUCAUUAUUUACAAUUUGUAAGUUUAUUGGAUAUAUAUUUAUUAUUGUCAAAUUUAAGAAUAAUAAUUUGAAAUUCAAGAACUCACAUGAUUUUAGUUAUAAAAAUUUUGGGCUUCUAUCAAGUAAAAGCCCACAAUAUUGUAUUGAGCGAACUAAAAUAUGAUAUUGAAAAUGAGUGCAAUUUAUAUAAAUAACUCCUAGAUGAAGACCAUAAUUUUUAACAAAGAUAUUGAUAUUAAAGAAUUAACUAAUCAUGUUGGGGCCGAAAGUUACUGUUGUUUAGUUUAUAUUUAUGUGUGAUUGUGAAUGAUUAUUUUUUUAAUUUAAAUUUUAAUAAAUUAUAUCUUUUUAUUUAUUGAGAGACUCAACAUUUCGGACUAUAUAAUAAAAAAAAGUAAUUUUAUUCACUAAAAUAGUGAAAAUUCUUGUGGUCGAGAGGACUUGAAUCUCAAGCCUCUCACUCUCCAUUCCUAAUAUAAGUGAGAUGACACAAAUCACACGUGAUUCCUAAUAAUAAAUUAUAUUUUUAAUAUAGUAUGACUUACUUUUUUUUAAAAUUCUAGUAUUUCAUGUUUCGUGUCUGUAUUAUAUUAAAUUUCUUGUUCUAUAUUUAUAUCUAUGCAAUAUAAGAGAGGAUUUUAUUUAAAUACCACUUGCGAUUUAAGUAUAAAAAAUAUGUAAACAAAAAAUAAUAAAAUAAUAAAUGGUCAGCCAUUAUUAAAAUGGGAGGGCAAAGUAAAUUUUUGAUUUAAAUUGUGCAUGGUAUGAUAGCAUUAAAAUUGCUUUUCUUUAUUGUUAAAUUGUGUAUGGUAUUAUCAAAGAAGAUCGUACAAGUUAUUCUAGUUUUUAUUACUUGUUUGAUUUACUUAAUGGGCCCCAGAUAUGCGUGUUAGCUUUUAGUUUGAUCAUUUUUCAUUAUAAAAUAAAUCAAGAUUUAUUUUAUAAUAUGGCCAUGAUUUGAUCAUUUUUCAUUUUUCAAAUCAAGAUUUAACACACUAAUAAUAAACCCCUAUGAAUACCCGUCAAAAGCUACGUGCAUGUUAUCCAGCAAAAGCAAGUCUCUUCUCUUUCCUCUUUCACACGCUCAUUCGCCGUAGCUCUGGACUUGAAAUCCUUUAGGGAAAAACCAAUAUGGCCACGAACGUCUCCUCCACAGCUUUCCUUACCUCAGCCGCCGCAGCCACCUCAACCUCCACUACCAACACCAUCAAAGCUCUACUCGUCACCCUAUUUAUCUCCAUUGUUAGUACAGUUAUAAAACUUCAAAGGAGAGCUGCUCUCAAAAAAACCACCAAAAUUCUCCCACUACCUCCCGGCCCAAACCCCUGGCCAUUCGCCGGAAACAUACCGGAAAUGACCCGGUAUAGACCGGCUUUCCGGUGGGUUGAUCAACUCAUGAAAGAAAUGAAUACCGAUAUAUGUCUUUUUCGUUUCGGGAGAACUAAUGUUAUUCCUGUCAUUUGUCCGAUUUUUGCACGUGAACUGCUCAAGACAAACGACGCCAUUUUCUCUAACAGGCCAAUGAUUCUUUCUGCUAAAGAAAUAAGUGGUGGUUAUCAAACUACCAUUGUCGUCCCUAACAAUGAUCAGUGGAAGAAAAUGAGAAAAAUAUUACCUUCAGAAAUUAUUUCACCUGCUAGACAUAAGUGGCUGCACGACAAAAGAGCAGAAGAAGCUGAUAAUCUUUUAUUUUAUAUCCAUAACCAGUACAAGGCCAACAAUAAUGUCAAUCUGCGACUUGUUGCAAGGCAUUAUUGCGGAAAUGUGAUAAGAAAAAUGGUGUUCAGUAAAAGAUACUUUGGUGAAGCAACGCCAAAUGGCGGACCGGGAUGCGUGGAGAUAGAACACGUGGACUCAGUUUUUGCUGUUUUGAAAUACAUAUACGCAUUUUGUAUUUCUGAUUUCAUGCCUUUCUUGCUAGGGCUUGAUCUUGAUGGACAGGAAAAAUUUGUUCUUGAAGCUAAUAAGACUUUAAGGGCUUUUCAUAAUCCUCUUAUAGAUGAAAGGAUUGAACUGUGGAGGAGUGGUCAAAGGAAGGAAAUGAAAGAUUUGCUUGAUGUUUUUAUUACUCUUCAAGAUUCUGAUGGAAAGCCAUUCCUGACAUCUGACGAGAUCAAGAAUCAAGUAGCUGUAAGAACUUAAAACCUAUAUAUUUACAAGCUUAAAUAUUUUCCUGAUUCAAGAUAUUUUGAUUUUUACAUUUGUUGCUUUUUUCCUUUUUCGAGAAUUUCAAUAUAAAAUAAGAAUNNNNNNNNNNNNNNNNNNNNNNNNNNNNNNNNNNNNNNNNNNNNNNNNNNNNNNNNNNNNNNNNNNNNNNNUAAAUAAAUACAUGUAUAGAUUCUUACAAAAUCCUGUAUUACAAAAAUUUUUCAGGAAGUUAUGAUAGCAACAAUAGAUAACCCUUCAAACGCAGUGGAAUGGACCAUGGGAGAAUUGCUAAACCAACCAGAAAUUCUCAAGAAAGCAACAGAAGAAAUAGACAGGGUGGUCGGAAAAGACAGACUUGUCCAAGAAUCAGACAUCCCUGAUCUUAACUAUGUCAAGGCAUGUGCAAGAGAAGCUUUUAGGCUCCAUCCUGUAGCCUACUUCAACCCACCUCACGUUGCUGCGCAAGACGCUGAAAUUUGCGGUUAUUUGAUCCCUGAAGGUAGUUGGGUCAUGCUCAGCCGAUAUGGUCUGGGCCGAAACCCAAAGACCUGGCCUAACCCACUCAAGUACGACCCAGAACGCCAUUUGAAUGAAGGAGAAGUGGUUUUGACCGAACAUGACUUGAGAUUCAUAUCAUUUAGCACGGGAAGGCGUGGUUGCGUCGCGGCUUUACUCGGAACUUGCAUGACUACUAUGUUAUUGGCACGAUUGCUUCAAUGCUUUACUUGGAGUCUGCCGGAUUAUGUCGAAAAGAUUGAUCUUUCCGAAGGCGUCGACGAGCUUUUUCCGGCCAAUCCCGUGGUGGCUUUUCCGAAGCCACGUUUGGCUCCUCAUCUUUAUACUACUUCGCCAUGAAUGAAUGAAUGGAAGGAUUUUAAGAUAUUUAAUUAAUUCAGAAUACUUUGAAAUCUGAAAUAAAUAAAUAAAAUCCGACUUGCAUGGUUAUUAUGUAAUUAGGUUAAUGUAAUAAAGUUCAAGAUGAAAUUAUGUAUUUAGUCAUUUUUAAGUUUAUGUUUAUAUAUUAUUAUGAAUGAUUAAUUAUUUAUUCAAAAUUUUAAUUAAAUUUUAAUAUAUUGUGGCAUAUUUUUUAAAAAAUUGUCAUGUCCAUUGAAUAAUAAUUUAAGUGACUAUUUUACGUGUCAUAUUAUGUCUCAUUUCCCAUGUCUAUAUCUAUGCAAUGUAUAUAAGAGAAGGCGUUACAUUGAAUAUAGAUUAGAUAACAUGAGCAGCUCUUUUUUGAAUUUUGUUAUAAAUAUCUAAUAUAAGUCGUGAGCUAUUAUAAAAUGGGAAGGGAAAGUAAAUUUUGAUUUCUUCAUUGAAAUUCAUUCAUAAAAACUUGAUUUUAUGUGUCAAAAUACGUCCAACUGUGCAAGUUUUAUAAUUUGACUUUAUUUUGAUAUUAUUUUUAUCAAUUUUUCCUUAAUAUCUAUCUUUAUAACAAUUACAUCCUCAAUUGCAAUUAAGGAUGAAAUUACAAAUAAAAAAAUAUUUUCAUUAUUUUUUAAAUUAAUAAUAAAAAUAAUAUUUUAUGUUCCUUGAAUAUCUAAUUAUAUUGACAUAUGGUUGAUAGUCAUGAAAAUAAAAUAAUUAAGGAGUUAGUUAUAUUUUUUAAUUAAAUGAAUAAUUAUUUAAGUAUAUUACCAAUCCAAAAAUUAUAACAAUUAGGUUUUUUUUUUUCAUCCUUAAAUGCAGAUAAUAUGAAAAUAAGGUUCCUAUUUUUAUUUCUUUAGAUUUAUUUUUAUGUCAUGUUUCAGGAUUUUUUGUUUAGUAAUAUAAAUUUCUAAUAUUAAAUUAUUAGAUAACCCAUUUAUUUUAAAAUUAAAAUUUAAUUUAUGUAAGAUUAAUUGGAUAGAGUAAUGGAAUGUUUUUAUAUUUUUAUUUUUAAAAUUUUCAAAUUGUAACAUGAUGAUUUAGAAAUGUUGGAAAUACUUUUUUUAUAUUUGUAAUUCUAGCAUUAAUUGCCGUGGAGUAAAAUUGAAGUAAAUGGUUCAAAUUGAAGUAAAAUUAAUAAAAAAAAACAUUAAAAUAUAGGAAAAUUGUUACUUUUUAUACAUCAAGUCAAUCUAUUUAAAUUAUUACUUUUUUUAUCCUUUUUAUAUAAGUAAAUGAUAACUUAGAGAAAUACUCUGGUUUGAAUUAAAAAGUUAUUUUCUGAUUGGUUUAGCCCAUCAUAUACGAGGAGUAGAUAAGUUAUUUCCAUUGAGUAAAGUCCUUCAAAUAGCAAGCACACCAAUUUUGAAUCCUUNNNNNNNNNNNNNNNNNNNNNNNNNNNNNNNNNNNNNNNNNNNNNNNNNNNNNNNNNNNNNNNNNNNNNNNNNNNNNNNNNNNNNNNNNNNNNNNNNNNNNNNNNNNNNNNNNNNNNNNNNNNNNNNNNNNNNNNNNNNNNNNNNNNNNNNNNNNNNNNNNNNNNNNNNNNNNNNNNNNNNNNNNNNNNNNNNNNNNNNNNNNNNNNNNNNNNNNNNNNNNNNNNNNNNNNNNNNNNNNNNNNNNNNNNNNNNNNNNNNNNNNNNNNNNNNNNNNNNNNNNNNNNNNNNNNNNNNNNNNNNNNNNNNNNNNNNNNNNNNNNNNNNNNNNNNNNNNNNNNNNNNNNNNNNNNNNNNNNNNNNNNNNNNNNNNNNNNNNNNNNNNNNNNNNNNNNNNNNNNNNNNNNNNNNNNNNNNNNNNNNNNNNNNNNNNNNNNNNNNNNNNNNNNNNNNNNNNNNNNNNNNNNNNNNNNNNNNNNNNNNNNNNNNNNNNNNNNNNNNNNNNNNNNNNNNNNNNNNNNNNNNNNNNNNNNNNNNNNNNNNNNNNNNNNNNNNNNNNNNNNNNNNNNNNNNNNNNNNNNNNNNNNNNNNNNNNNNNNNNNNNNNNNNNNNNNNNNNNNNNNNNNNNNNNNNNNNNNNNNNNNNNNNNNNNNNNNNNNNNNNNNNNNNNNNNNNNNNNNNNNNNNNNNNNNNNNNNNNNNNNNNNNNNNNNNNNNNNNNNNNNNNNNNNNNNNNNNNNNNNNNNNNNNNNNNNNNNNNNNNNNNNNNNNNNNNNNNNNNNNNNNNNNNNNNNNNNNNNNNNNNNNNNNNNNNNNNNNNNNNNNNNNNNNNNNNNNNNNNNNNNNNNNNNNNNNNNNNNNNNNNNNNNNNNNNNNNNNNNNNNNNNNNNNNNNNNNNNNNNNNNNNNNNNNNNNNNNNNNNNNNNNNNNNNNNNNNNNNNNNNNNNNNNNNNNNNNNNNNNNNNNNNNNNNNNNNNNNNNNNNNNNNNNNNNNNNNNNNNNNNNNNNNNNNNNNNNNNNNNNNNNNNNNNNNNNNNNNNNNNNNNNNUAUGGCAUAUUUCCAAUUAACCAUACGUCAGAAAUUGUAUUCUUCCUUUUAGGAAAAUUUAAUUCACUGUUGCAGUUGUUUUUUGAGGGAGAACUAAUUGGGUAUUAACAGAAACAAAAAGUUUCUUUUUUUAUGAAAUUUUAUUUGAAAUUUCAUAUUCUUAUGUUUGGUAAAAUGAAAAUUUACUCAUUUUAAUUUUCAUAGAUUCCAUUAGUGAUUGAGAUUUUAGUGUACUUCCUUGGAGCAUAAUUCUUAUUAUUAAGUUAAAAAAACAAGUUUGUGUUAAUUAAUUAAUAUCUAUUUAAAUUGAUUGAUUCAAGAUAGUUAUUUUUAUUUAAUUAUUCUCUAUUCAAAAGCUAUGAAAUUGCAGUGAUAUAAGGCUGCCUUACCAGAUUUUAGCAUUGUUGAGGACAAAUUAGAAUCGUUCUUUCUACUUCUUUUUGUAUGUAAAGAAGAGAAAUAUACAAAACACCAAGAAAUGGUUUCAUUAUACAAACUGUAACUACACAAAUUUAACAUGAAAAAGAAAAAACAAUGGAGAAAAUCUCACUUGAGCAGUCAAACUUGUAUGAGAUCAUGGAGCAUUUUCUUUUUUUCUUUUUUAAAUACAUGAUCCUACAUAAAAAGGAAAGGAAAUAUCAAAGCUGACCCAAAAAAAGGUACUACGUGCUUCAACAAAUGCUGUAGAUAAUUCUGCAACAUCAUCUUCCGCCAGAUAGCUCGAUAGCAUCCUGGUUAUAUAAUGAAUCUUCUCCCCAGUCAAAUCUUCUUUGCAGCCUUUCAUAUUCUUGCCUGCGCGAAACCUCAAUAUGCUGCCACUCUUCCCAUCUCUCAGCCAGACCCUCUCCUUCUAACAUCCGUACCACCUCUGACAUUGCUGGACGAUCCUCCGGCGACGCUUGGGUACAGAGUAAAGCAACCUGGAUCAUCAUCUCCACCUCCUGAAUAUUGUAAUUUUUAUUAAGGUUGCGGUCUACAAUGGCAUCCAGUCUUUUUUCCCUCUCCAGCUUCUUGACCUUCAGAUGCAAAUUUUAGACUAGUAUAAAUAACUUUGUAAGUGUAGGCAGGAAGCAGAGAAAAUACAAGCAAAAUAAUAAUGAAUUCUCAUGCUCAGUUAUCUCACAAGGUCAAGCAAUAGGACAUCGUCCUCCUCUUCCAAGCGCGCAAAGUCAAUUGCUCGUUGACCCGUUACAAGCUCUAGAAGCAUAAUACCAUAACCAAAGACAUCUGUUCUCUCAGAUGAUUUCCCAGUAGAUAAAUACUCUGGAGCAAUGUGGCCCAUCGUCCCACGAACUUGAGUUGUCACAUUAGUCUUUCUCACAUCCACCAACUUCGCCAGGCCAAAGUCACCAACAACUGCUUCAAAAUCUUCAUCCAAUAGUACGUUGGCAGCCUUCACAUCCCGAUGAAUAAUCUUAGGAUUGCAAUGUUCAUGAAGGUAUUCAAGCCCACGUGCUGCACCUAAGGCCACCCUUUUUCUUGUUGCCCAAACUAAAACAGGCUCCUCAGGCUUACGUUCU